Molecule: long non-coding RNA, 54613 nt
Filed under: Triticum aestivum (bread wheat)
Lineage: Eukaryota; Viridiplantae; Streptophyta; Magnoliopsida; Poales; Poaceae
Description: long non-coding RNA (TAES_LNC000055)
Source: RNAcentral
UGUCUUUUUUUGUAGUGGUUGGAUUGAGUAUUAUGAAUCUGAAAUUGCUUUGGUGCUAUUUUAGUACAUACUCUUUAUAGAUCCAUCGGAAAGAAUAACUUGGUGUUAUUUUAGUACGAAAUCUUGGAUAGAUCGAUCGGAAAGAAUAGCUACAAACAAUUUCUUCUUAUGUUCUCCGCUAGAUAAGAACUUUGGAGUGAUUCAUCAUCGCACAUUGAGGGAUGGUUAUGUGAUCCAAUUAUAUUAGCAUUGUUGAGAGAUUGCACUAGCGAAAGUACGGACCCUAGGCCUCAUUUUUAAGCAUUGCAAUACCGUUUGUGCUCACUUUUGUUACUUGCUACCUUGCUGUUUUUUAUUGUUCCUAUUACAAAAACCAAUAUCUACCAUGAUUACUACACUUUUAUUACCAUCUCUUCGCUGAACUAGUGCACGUAUACAAUUUACCAUUGUAUUUGGUGUGUCGGGGACACAGGAGACUUUUUAUUAUUUGGUUGCAGGGUUGUUUGAGAGAAACUAUCUUCAUCCUACGCCUCCCACUGGUUGAUAAACCUUAGGUCAUCCACUUGAGGGAAAAUUGCUACUGUCCUACAAAACUCUGCGCUUGGAGGCCCAACACGUGUCUACAAGAAUAAAGUUGCGUAGUAGACAUCAAGCUCUAUUCUGGCGCCAUUGCCGGGGAUGUGAGUGCUUGAAGGUAUAUCUUUAGAUUUUGCAAUCGAAUCUUUUAGUUUCUUGUUUUAUCACUAGUUUGGUUUAUAAGAAAAAUACUACAAAAAAUGGAAUUGAGGUGGCCUCAUAUUAUUCAUAUUCAUCAUGUCUUUCUUGAAAAUGAUGGAAAGGAAAACUGUGCUCAAUUGAUAGAAUAAGAAAUCAAUAAAAUGUUUGGCAGAAAUGAUGAGCAUGAUUGCAAUGUUAUUAGUAUGAAUUCUUUGAAUAUCCAUGAUGCUAAUGAUAUGCAAAGCUACAAGCUUGGGGAUGAUAUGUUUGAUGAAGAUGAUAUUUUUAGCCCCCAAGUUUUGAUGAGAAAAUUUAUUAUGAUGAUCGCAUGCCUCCUAUUUAUGAUGAUUAUAUUGAUGAAAGUGGAUUUGCAGAGGUCGUGACUUUAUUUAAUAAUUAAUCCACUAUUUUGGAAGAGGUUGCAAUUGAUUAUGACAACAAAGCUGCUAUCUAUGAUGAUUAUUGUGAUGACAUGUGUGUUAUAAAAAAAACAAUGAUAUCCAUGAGACUUGUCAUGAUGAUUUUAAUUUUCAAUCUGAUGAUAGUUAUUUUGUUGAAUUUGCUCCCACUACUAUUCAUGAGAAUAAAUUUGCUUAUGUGGAGAGUAAUAAAAUUUCUAUGCUUGCGAAUCAUGAAAAUAAUGCUUUAUGUGAUAGUUAUAUUGUUGAAUUCAUUCAUGAUUCUACUGAAAAUUAUUAUGAGAGAGGAACAUAUGCUUGUAGGCUUCUCACUAAUAUCAAGUUUCCUCUCUUUAUGUUGAAAGUUUUGAAGUUGCACUUGUUUUGCCUUCCUAUGCUAGUUCAUGCUUAUUCCCAUAAAUUGUUCGCUCACAAAAUCCCUAUCCAUAGGAAGUGGGUUAGACUUAAAUGUGUGUCGGGGAUAUCUAGCGACAUAUGCCAGGGGUGGCUUAUCAUGGAUGGGGACAAGAGUACGUCGCCGGGCUCCACGAGCGGGAGUGAGCGAGACCGCAUAUGCCUAGUCCUGCUCUGUGGGGUCUCCGCAUGAUGACUAUCGUCAAUAGAGUAGCUACAAGAUCGCUCCUUGAGUUGUUUCAGCUAGAGGAGGAAGAAGGGCAAGGCUAGCUCUAUCUUCUCCUUCUAUGGCUGUGUGUAUGAUGGCAAAGGUACUAAACCCCCUGCAUGGGGAAGCCUGGGGGGUUUAUAUAAGCCUACCUCCCAGGGAUAUAAUGGUAAUCUGGCCGGGUGUAGGACCCGGGCGUCAGUGUCUCCGAGCGUCGGCAUCUCCGCUGGCUGCUGGGGCCCGCCGCUUGGUGGGUCCCGCCGGCUGCUGUGAACUCGGCCGACAGGUAGGGCCCGCUGCCUGGGGACCAGGUUGACUGCUUUAUAAUGUAGCCUCGCCUCUGAUGACGGCGGCUUUGUCGGGGGGCGCAUGGCUACAGUCCCGCCACCUGGCGGGUGCUCACUAUAGCCACACCCCAUCUCAUCAGGUUAAUGGCGCGCAGACUCCAAGGGAAGGGAGGGCCGCCUAUUAGGAGUCGGCCCGCCCUCGACGCCAUCUGCUGGGGAUCCGCCGCCUUCUGGUGGCUUGCGGACAGGUAGGGCCCGCCGCCUGUGGGCCGAACCGACCACCCGUCGUGGGAGCGUGGCUCCUUCUGACGUAGGUGAUGUCAUGGGUCGCGUGGCAACAGUGUCGUGCCGGGUGAGGGGUGUCCGCUUGGUACACAAGCACUGUGGCCACGUUCCACCCUGGAUUUGGGGGUGGCAGGUCGCACUGUAGCCACGCCCCGUCUCGCCAUGGUUAAGUGGGUGCAAACUUUGAGGGGACGAGGGGCCGUCUGAUAGGAGUCGGCUCCCUCGUGGCCGUCUUCUGAUGUCUCACCAUCUCCCAGCAGCCGGCCUCUUAGACCAGCGGGCCCAAGAAGUUAGCCAUACGUCCGGGAGGUGUGAGAGGCGUAGCUAGCCCCGAUGUCUUGAAAUGCCAUGGGGUGCCAAUGAGGCUACUCGUGGUCAAUUACUCCGACAGUAGUCCCAGAAGCUGGUGGGGCGCCGCGGCUGAAUUCGAGGAGCCGCAACAGCUUCCUACUCCGAGUGGUCUGGUAAUCUUGCUUCGUCUGUGGUCUGAAGAUGCCGACUGUUAGGAGCCGGCCAAGGAGCGGUCGGCCGACUGGUGAAUUCGAAACGUCAGGGUAGAGGCUGCAUGGAGAGCCAGCCGGGUGACAGGCUUGCCGCCCGUUGGUCGUUCGCCUCGCGGCGUCAGCAUACCAGGCCGGCCUGCCAGCCCACGCGCGUGACAGGACGUCGCCACAGGCCCGGGCCUGCCACUACAGGGCCUUGGCGAGCGCGCGGAUCCACUGUGGCCGAGGCAAACGGUUCCCCUUUAGAGGCUCAGUAACUGCGCGCCGUAAAGGCGCGGAAUAUGCGGGGUCAUGCGGGGCGUGGGUGCAGUUAAUCCCAUGCCCCCACGUUUUACCUCUUCGGCUCCGCCGUCGCUGGCCUAUAUGUCGAGGGAGGAGGGUGCGGCAGAAUGCACGCGCGCCCUCCUCAUCUUCCAUCUUCCUUUUCCUCUGCGCUCUACUGCUCCACGCCGCCCCGCUGCUCGUCGCCGAAACGCUGUCGCAGCCCAUCAAUGUUCGUCCUCGCUGCGCCGCCGCGCCCUCGUCCUCGUGCGACUUCGCUGCCCCACCAUAGGGCUACCACGGCCAUGGCGCGUGGCGGGCACUCCGGGGACUGGGAUGGCUCCAACGUCCAAGACGAGGACAUCGAUUUUCUUCGCGUGACGCGGAGGAUUCCCGACGAGGAGUGCGUGGGAGUGCGGAUUCCUCUGGCGCGGGGGAUCUUGUCGGCGCCUGAGCCCGGCGAGUUUGUGGUCUUCCACAGCCACUUUCUCCGCAGCUUCGGCUUGCCGGCGAGCGGUUUCUUCCGCGCCUUCCUCAACUUCUACGGCUUGCAGCCGCAUCAUCUCACACCCAACACCGUGGUGCUCCUCCCCGCCUUCGUCACCAUGUGCGAGGGCUACCUUGGAGUUUUUCCCACACUCAAGCUGUGGGGGCGAUUCUUCUACCUCAAGCUUGGCACCGCGGCCAAGGGCGAGGCGGCUUAGUGCAGCGCACCGGCGGCAGGACCCGUUUUCCAGCUGUGGUGGUGCUGGAGUCGUCCAACUUGUGGAAGAAAUCAUAUUUCUACGUCCGCAACUUGGAUUCGACUCGGAACUACAUCAACCUGCCGGGUUUCAAGGCCCGCCCGCUGAGCCACGGGGCAACUGGGGCCAGCAGCCACCAAAGCCGUUGCCGGCCGGUGUCACCAUCAUCCUCAACCACCUGCAGGUGAUGCGGAGGUGGAAGGCCUGAAGCCGGCGGAUCUGCUGGCCGCCUUCAACCAGCACCGGGUGCUGCCACUCCAAUUUUGGCCCCACCUGAUCUGUGAGGGCGGCCGCCGGGAUCCGAGCCGGAUGUUGACCAAGGAGAUGCCCGCAGAUGAGGUCGUUCACCACGUCAACUACAUCUCCGGCAACCAGCUCUAAGUGGAUGACCGGAGCUUUGGCAAGGAGCCCUACAGCUGGGCCAAUCCGCCACCUGGGGUUAGUACUCGGCCUUCUUCUUUGUUCUCUUUGUUUUUGUGAUGACCUUUAUCAAGUCUAAUCAUCCGGGUGCUACGCAGCGCGCCGUCAGUCCUGAUCACCGGUGGAUGCCGGACCGGGAGCUCAGCGACAUAGGCGACCCUGAGCUAGGGGCGGCCGCGCUGGAGGAGGACGAUGCCACCAGGGGAGGCGGCGGCGGUGCGGGCGGAGCCGCAGGAGGCGGCGUGGUAGGGGAUGUCUGGGGGUGGUCGGACGACGACGAAGGCGGCGACGAGCCACACCAUGCUGCGGGCACCGACAGGACCGCGGCCGGCUCCUCGACAGCGGGGCCGACAUCUGGAGCAGCCGGCUCCUCGAAGCGUCGAGCUGACGUAGGGAUGCCCGGCACCAGGCCGAGCAAGAAGGCCAAGAAGUCCGCCGCCACAACCAAGCGGAAAGAGGACCUGAAGGCAGCCACCUUCCAGAAGAUCCCGAAGCCGCGCCUGACGGUGUCCGCAUAAGUGUCUUGGUCUUUUUUGCAUUUUGUUUUUCAUUUUUCGCAAACUUCUUCUUAGCUUCUUUCUGCCGUGUUCGCGUAGGGCCCCGCUUUCUCUGUCGCGAGCCCCAUCCGGCUCGGUGAUUGGGGUGGCAGACGGCUCCGCAGACACUUGUUGCAUGGACCUGGUUGCCGCCCUUCGGGAGGCAUCGGAGAGGAAUGCGCGGGAGGCGCAAGAGGAAUGGGAGGCCGCGGCCCGGGCGAAGGCGGAGGCGGCCGAGGCGGCGCAAAAGGAGGCCAGCGUGGCGGCCAAGGAGCAGGCGGACGCGGCCGCCAAGGCGCGGGAGGAGGAGACGGCGUCCCGCAGCAGGGCUCCAGAGUCCACGAGUCCGCAACCUGUGGAGCCGAUGGUGUUGGAGGGCCAGGUGCUGACUGGUGGGGCUGGGGCCGACCAGCCGACCCUGGAGAUGGGAGAGGUUGACCCUGUCGUCUCGGAGGCGAAGGUCCCUCCACGCGUGCCAGCUGCCGGCGCGCAGGGUAGCCGGCCCGAGGCGCCGCUGGUGCCGCCAUCUGGCAGCAAGUUGGUGGUGGGCCCGAUUCCCACGAUCCGCUCUCCUACGCGCCAGCGCCCGGUGAGGGCGGCCUCGGUGCCAAGGCCGAUGGAGAUCGGGGCCGCGAGCUUGUCGGCGCCCGACUCCGAUGCCACCAGCACCGCCCCGCCAGACUGGACGUCUGGGGCUGGCUCGGGUGUCCUGAACGUGGCUAUGCAGGACGUCCUGACCCACUUCAACACCCAUGACGCCAUGCUCCAACAAUCCAUGUAGGUGUUUUUGGCAAUGCGGACGGCCGUCCGGGUACGCUAUUUGCUUCUUCUUUUUCAAUUCUUGUGAUCUUCCAUGGGGCGCACCAGUGCACCCACUGUGUGUAACCCCCGAGUUCCGGGCCGGCUGCUGAGCAGGUGGCUCGGAACUUCAAGGUAUGCUCCGAGUGCUGAGAUCUUUUUUCUUCUGUUGUCUUUGUUGCAGGACUACCGCAACAUCCGUGCGGCCACCUACAACUCUCAGAACCAGGAAUUGGCCAAGGGGACCACUGAUCUGAACCAGAGCCGAAGUAAGCACUUCGUCUUCUUUUCCGCGGGGGCACGUCAGCGCACCCGCUGGGUGUAGCCCCCGAGAUUCAGGUCGACUGCUGAGCAGUCGGGCCGGAUCUUCCGGCAACUACUCUUUUUUGGUUAGUGUUGACAUUUCUCUUUUUUCUUGUCUUGGCAGAGGCCGCCACUGAUCUGCGGAAGCGCCUGGGUGAGGUUGAGUCCGAGCUCCACACCAAGGAGCAGGAGCGCAGCCAGGCCACCCAGGAACGCGACCGACUGGCGAAGAAGCUGGAGGACCAGGCAGCGAAGCACCAGGCAGAGGUCCAGAAGCUGAAGGAGAGCGAAACCCUCCUCAAGGCUGAGUACGAGACUCAGCGCUCGAACUGGGCUGAGAGGGAGAAGUUCAUGUCCGACAGCUACGGUGAGGUCGAGGACAUGAUCGAUGGUAAGUUGAUUCUUCUUUUAUACAUCUACCGGCUGCUGCAGGAGCCGGCCUCAAGCUUCUAAGCUCUUGCUUUUUCUUCUUGUGCAGAGUUCUUUCUCGGUCAUUCCGUUGCCGUCAGCCAGGCCAUCGAGGCGCGGCGCGACCAGCGGAGGAGGGCGGGCAUUGAUAUUCCGCCGAAUGCGCCUCGCAAUCUUGGCGAGCGGCUCCUGGCCGUCAAGACGCGCCUGCAGCCGGCUCAUCGCGCACUCCGCUGCCUGCAGCGUGUCGGGGCACAGGUGUUGGCCGCCCUCUGGCCGGACGCUCAAGUCCCCCGCACCCUCAGCCAGACUGCCGACUGGCUGGAGGCAGCAGUCGGGAACUUCGAGGCUUGGAAGGGUGCCACGGCUCGGGCGGGCGCUCGGCCGGCCUUGGAAUUCGUCAAGGCCUGGUAUCCGGGGCUCGAUCUGGCGCAGCUGGCCACCUUUCGGCAUGAGGCUGGACCGGAGCUGGAGGCGGUGAGCCACGCGCUCACCCAUCGCGCGGCGGCAAUCGCCGAGUACGCCAACACCUCCAUCUUCAUCCCAGAGCUGGAUGAGGAGGGCGCAGAGGUGCCGCCCAACUAGUUCGGGCUGGACCCGGAGGUGGGGGAGGAUUCGGCGGAGGAGAUUGCCUCCAGCGGCGAGGGCGAGGAAGAUGAGGAUGAGGACAUCGAAGACAUCGCACCGGACGACAAAGCGAGCAUCCGGCCUCAACCUGAUCAGGCCUCGACCAGUGAGCCGUGGGAUGUCGCGCCGACUGCUGCUGGUGCCGACCAGGCCGAGACCCACCAGUCGGCCACUCCACCACCCGGCGCCUCUGCCUUCACCGACCCGUCUGAUUCGCCUGCCGCUCCUCUGGCCUAGGCGGCCAUUUUAUCUUUCCUGUUUUUUUGUCUUGUUACUUUUGAACAAGUUAGAUUCGCACAGCUCCACCUGCUGGGGUGUAAUUUCAAAACUCCAUUGAAUGCCGGCCUUGAGCCUUUUGCUAUGUAUAUAAAUUAUUCUCGCACAAGUUUGUGCUCUUGCCGGGUUCUAGCUCGGUUUUGCUUUUCUGUUCUUUUUGGCUUUUUCCUUUACCGCCUUCCUUUGGCUGCCAGCCGGACAGCCGCUCUGCGGUCUGUGGCUGGGUCAGGGACUUGGCCGUUUAGGAUAGACAAGUACUUCGGCCGCCUAGAAUGUAGCUUAGUCAAGCGAGAAGCCGGCUGCUCUGCAGCCGGACGGUGAGGCGAGGAGCCGGCUUCGGCCGCCUAGAAACUGACUGAGAAGUUCACCUCCAAUGUUGCAGCCCCAUCGCAACAAGAAAUUCCUCAGACUGAAGCAUCUGCUCAGCCAACUGAAGAACAUGCCAGCACUGAUGAUGACAUUCAGGCUGCUGAAGAAAAUGUGAGUUCCAGGUCUGAUGACCGCAUUCCAGCCGCUGAUGAAAUUGCCAGGGCAUCCACUAGUGGUGCGCCUGAAGAAUAUGAAGAGGUCAGGGCAACUGCAUCAGUUGUGCCUGAAGAAAAUCAACCACAUUCCUCUGCUCCUCCUGCGCCUACUCCAACUCCAAUCCUUCCAUCUGCAUCAGAUGUGAAGAAGACCAAGGCUGCAGAGCGUGCAGCAAUGAAGAAAAGGAAAGCAUAAGCUUCUUCAGAUUCUUCAGCUCCGAAGAAGAUGAAGAAAUUGGCCAGCUCAGUUGCAAACCCCAUUGAUGUUGUUCCGAUCUCAACCAUGCCAUCAAAGGACCUUGUUCCUUUUGAUGAAGAAUAUGUGAUCCCUAGCGGAUCUGAUGAAGAAAAUCCUUCUGCUGCUUUGUCAGAGCAGAUGGAUGAAGAAAUUGAAGUGGAUGAAAUCCCUUCAACUCCAGCUGUUUCCUCGCCUAUGCCUCAGUUUACUGCUGAAGAGGUCGGCGUUGAAGAAAUGGAAGAUGAAGAUGUGGACAUUGGCUGUACCACACCAGUGAUAAAUGAUGACUUUUGGGAAAGUCAGCACCCCAACUCUCCACUCCACACCUUUACAGCAAAUUCCUCAGUCCCCUGUUGCUACUGAAGUACAAAUGGGAUCUGAAGAACCUCGUGCAACCCCAUCUGUCCAUGAAGAAAUUCCAGCCACUAGUGCUGAAGAAAAUGUACAUGAAGAAUUGAAGACAAAGGCUGCCACUAAAGAGGAACCAGAAAUUCCUCAGCCUGAAGAACCUGAGAUUGUGAUUCCUGAGGUUGUAAUGCAACUGACUGACACUCCUCUGCCCAAACCAAAGGAUCCAUUCUCAAGGAAGCAAAAGUUCAAGGCUAAUGAUUUCUUCGGCGAGCACGUAUUCUUCACUGAUUACAACCCCUAUGACUCUGCUCGCAUUAGGAAGAGGCGUUUCUGGACUGCCAGCCAGGCAAAUUUUUAUUCCUCAGUGCUGUUCAACAAAGACAAAGUCUUUGAUCAUGAGCACAUUCCUCACGUGGAUAUGGAAUCUCUGCCGUGCUUCGUGCCAGUCCUCAGUGUUCUUCACGAUGCUGGGCUGUUAAAUUUCUGCACUGAUAUAUGUGAUUGGAAUGAAGAGCUUAUUCUUCAAUUUUAUGCAACUCUGCACAUCACCGGAGACUCUGAAGAUGUGAAUUCAUGGGUGUUGGACUGGAUGUCUGAAAAUACUCACUACAAGGCACCAUCUACUGAAUUGCUUCAUGCUUUGCCUCUCAGUCCUCCCCUUGAAGCUGCUCAUUGCGUCUACAGUGAACCUGAGCUUAUAGAUCACUAUAUGCAAGUGUUGAUGAAGCCAUUGAAGCCAGGUCAAGCCCCAAGAACUAAAUUCCUUGUGAAGGAAUUGUUAUAUGUGCCUCGGACUGUCUAUUGCAUUCUGACGAAGACAUUGAGUCCUAUCAAGGGCCACGACUCAAAUGAAGAAGAAGUCGUUGGAAUCAUGAAGAAUCUGCUUUUCAAUAUCAUUCAUGGCGUUCCCGCCAACUUCCAUGAUUUCUUCAUGAGGACUCUGGCCAAUGUCGCAAUGUCACCAUUUGAGUUGAAGCCUUAUGCACCUUGGAUUAUGAGAUUCAUGAGAACAAGGUCUUCACUCAACUACAAAGCUGAUACACUGAACCAUUGCAGCUACUUGCCCCCGAUUGAAGUCCUCAAACAGACAUUUUCCUCAGCUGAUGACAAGGGCAAGGCUACUACUGUUAUUGAUGAAGGCAUUCGUCCAUUGGAUGGUCAAUUUCGCAAAGUUGCAUCUUAUUCCACCAAUGAUGACUCUGCCACCCAUGACUCUGCCGCCAACGCAACCAAACCAAAUCCUCAAGGCACAGCUCCCAGGGUGAUGAAUGACCGUGAGCUUCUCCUCAGUCUUCACCAGAAGGUUGAUCGCAAUCACAAAUGCGUCAAGCGUCAGUUUGGUUCAAUUCUUCACAACAUGACUGCUACCCACAAUGCAGUGAAGAAAAACCAUUACUACCUUCAUGAAACCCUCAACUGCACCUGGGCUGUUCUGUCUCACAUUUAUAGCGCAGAAGAUCUGAAGAACAUGGGUCUCAAGGACUUUGACUGGUCUGCACCUCCACCGAAGAAAUACAAGAAGGUCAAGGUUCCUUCCUUGGUGGCCAGCUCCUAUUCUUCAUCGCGUGACACUGAUGAGCAUGAAGACUUGGACGACACUGCGGCAGGCCCUACAUCAACAAACGACCCCAACAACGCUGGCGCUCCUUCAUCAACUUGAUAUUCUUCAGGGGCGUUAGUCCUCAUUUUCGAACCUUUUGGUCAUUCGAUGACAAAGGGGGAGAAAUUUGAGUUAGUCUUCAAGUGGGUCUAUCUUUUAUGGGCGUUUUUUUCUAAGUUACAACUCUCGUUCUUCUGAUCACUUUGUUGGAUCAAGUUGUAAACUUAAAACUCUAUGGUGGCCUGAUACUUUUGCUGUUUUUUUCUGCAUGCUUAUUCCUCGUUAAUGUUAUUGCACGCAUGCUGAAUUACAUCAGUCACCAUAUUUCAUCAUGCAUUUCAAAUUCUCAUAUAUUAUGUCAAAUGCGUGUAUGAAUUACAAGAUAUAGGGGGAGAUCUCCAUGAUUCAACUCUUCAAGUGUGCAUUGCUUCAAAAGCAAAUUCCUCACUAUGCACAUCUUCAGGGGGAGUUCUUCUAUAUCUUGCAAUCAAAUUCCUCAAUAUCAGUAUUUACACUUCAUAUGUUUAUCCCCGUUGAAAACUUAACCUAUAUUGUCAUCAAUCACCAAAAAGGGGGAGAUUUUGAGUGCAUCUAGUGCCCCUUAGUGAUUUUGGUGUAUUGAAGACUUAUAGGUUAAGGGACUAAUGUGUUUAUGAGUGUACACAGGUCUAUAAGUCUAUGAGGAGUUUGAUAUUUACAGAGAAAGUUGACCCCCAAAAAUGAAGUUCUUCGACUGAAGACUUUGGAUUUCUGAAGACUUUCUGAAGACUUUGAAAGUGAAGAAAUUGGUGUGACCUUGAAGACUUGGUAUUCAUUUGAGGAACAUGAAGCGUGAAGACUUUUAUUUUCGUAGUUUCAUUUUCUCUUUCUUGAGUCAUAGGAAACACCGUACUGUUAAAGGGGGUCGAGGAAAUACUAAGGAAAAAUUUCCAUGUGAUGGUCAACUCAACAUCCUACACCUACCAAUCCCUUCGAGUGAAGCCAUUGGAAAUCUCAUACAGUUCAAUCAUAUUCUUUAGUGACAGAGACGAAGUUCUUCUGGUCUCUGAGGAAUUUGUUCGGACCGAGGAGUUAGGAAUUCGCCAGUGCGGAUUGCCUACACAGUGAGGAACAUGAUAGCCCUGAGGAAUAUGAUACUCAAAUUUCCGACCGUUGCUGUGCUAUGCGCCAGCUGUCCCAAAAUAUCUACCCACCUAACGGUCAUAUCAUUGAAGGGCAUUUAUGUCUUAUCAUGUCGGGCUGCUCCCUAGGCUAUAAAUAGCCGCCCCCUACAACCACUAGCUGGUUGGCUGCUCCGAGAGAAAGUGACAUUUGUCAUUUGAGAGCAUCCCAUCCUCCGAGGACUUUGAGCGAAAAUCAUCGAGUGAGGAAAACCCCAAACCCAAACACCUACAAACCCAAAGUGAUUGAGCAUCACUGAAGAGAUUGGUCCUGGGUGGAUCUGGCGCUUGUUACCUUUGAAGACUGUGCUUCUUCCAGACGGUUAGGCGUCAUGGUCUAGAGCAUCCAAGAGGAAUUGUGGAUCGCCGAGUGACUGAGUUUGUGAAGGUUCGGAAGUCACCUGAAUACUUACCACGAGUGAUUGGGCGAGGUCUGUGUGACCUUAGCUCAAGGAGAAUACGGUGAGGACUAAGUGUCCUGGACUGCGUGUUCAGGACUGGGUGUCCGGGACUGUGUGUCCUCAGGUUUAAAUACCUAGCCGCUCCAACCAGAUGUACAACUGAGACAGCAGUUGGAACUGGUCUACCAAAUCAUUGUCUUCACCAAGCUUACUGGUUCUAUUUCCUCAACUCUUUCAUUUCCUCAUAACUGUGCUGUGUGCUUGUUCAUAUAUGUGUUUGAAGAAUUUGACUGAAGAUUUUCUCAAUUUCCUCAGUUCAAUUUCUUCAGUCUGUUUGUCUUCAUCCUGUGUUAUCCUGUGUUUACGCUUUCUGUACUCUGUGCCUGUCUUCAUUUCAUCAUGAUGACCAUGCUUGUAUCCUGUUAUGUUUACUUAUGAGUACUUAUUCCGCUGCAAGUAGUUCUUCACUAAGGAAUUUCCUCACCCGCAAAUUCCUGAGUGAAGAAUUCAUAAAAGUCGCCUAUUCACCCCACCCCCUCUAGUCGAUAUAACUAACUUUCAAUUGGUAUCAGAGCAAGGUACUCCCUUGUUCUGUGUGAUUUUAGUUUAACCGCCUGGAGUUUUAGUUAUGUCGACCGCAGGUAUGAAGAAAGUGACAUGCCCCAUCUUUGACGGUCAUGAUUAUCCCAAGUGGAAGGCCAUGAUGAGGAAGCACCUAAUGGCACUGAACAGCGAGCUAUGGACCGUCACUGAGAUUGGUCUUACCGAUCUAUGCAAGAUGGUGGACACUGAUGAUAUUCGCAAGUACACUCGACUUGACUUCAUGGCAAAGGAUAUCAUCUGUUCCUGCCUAACCAGAUAUGAAUUCAGGAGCAUUAUGCAUCUUUGUAAUGCAAAGCUUAUCUGGGACCGAAUCUCUGAUGUCUAUGAAGGUCAUCGAACUUGUCAUGAUCCCUGGUUUGAGGAUUUCAAGGAAUCACUCAAAGCGAUGACUUUCGAACCUGAACCAUCAUCUUCUGCACCAUGUCUCAUGGCAAAAGGUGCCAAGGUAACCGAAUGUUCCUCAUCCGAGUCUAGUGAUGAUGAAUCCGAUGAUGAUUUUGGACCUAGCUAUACGAAGCUUGUUUGUAUUGCCACUAAACAACAAAAGGCCUUGGAAAAGGUUCAAAACAUGCUAGAUAAAAGUGAUGAUAUGUUGGGUGAAGAAAUGGAUCGCACUAAAACCUUGACUGAAAAUCUUCAAAGACUUCAGUCUAGAUUUGACAACCUUCAAGGUCAUCAUAACACUCUCUUAUCUGAUCAUGAGAAGCUUUCUUAUGAAUUUCUUCAAAGAAAGCAAGAUCUUGAGAAGCUAAGAGUGGGUUAUGAAGAUCUUCAGAAGGAGCGCGAUUCAUUACUUGCUCAACAAAUCAGCGCUGCUCAGGAAGAAUUUUUUCCUCCAUGUUUGAAAUGCAUUGAACGUGAAUCUGCUAAUUCUUCACCUGAAUGUUCAAUUGCUUCUAAUGCUACAAAUUCUUCAACUGUCUCUGCUAUCACUAAUUCCUCAUCUGAUGACAUUGCUAGUAUCACUGACGAUGCAGGGCUGAAGGAAUUGUACACGACAGGCAUGUACAAAAGCCUCAAAGGGCAUCAGACUCUUUGUGAUGUGCUUAAAAAGCAGAUCCUCAACAGGAACCCUAGGAAAGAGGGUAUUGCCUUUGAGAGGAAACUCAAUGCUGAUGGUACAUAUUGGAAGCCUGAGCAGUACCCCAAAACCUCAUGUGUAUCUGCAAAGGGACCUCCAGUUGAUCCAUCUAAUUUAUCUGGCUUUACAUGUGAAUCUUCUCAUUCUUCUGAUGAGUCAUUUGACUCCAACUAUAAACUAUUUAAAAAUCAGAAUGGUGAAGUAUUUGCUAGAUAUGUUGGCACUAACUGCAGGAACGGUUCUCCUAUGAAGAAAAUCUGGGUUCCCAAAAGGUGCCUUGAAAGUCUUCAGGUGAAUGUCCUCAUGACACCACCUGUGAAGAAUAGGAACCCCAGAUCAAAUUCUUCAUAUGGAUCCAAGUCCUCAUACGGAUCGAAUUCCUCACGUGGAUCAUAUUCCUCAAAAGGAUCAAAGUCCUCAUAUGAAUAUCAUCGUGCUAACAACUCUGUUUCGCAGGGAAGAGCCAAGGGCUAUGAAUAUGAGCAUUAUUCUUCUAAUCAUUAUGUUCAUAAGUCCUCGAAGAAUUUCUCUGCUUAUUCCUAUGCUUACCCUAACUCCUCUUAUGUGAAACGAAAUGGAUUAGCUUCUAUGCCACCUUUCUCGUAUGGAGCUCGCAGAGUGAUGAACUCUUUGCCACCCCUUCAGAUGUGGGUGGUGAAGAAAAAGAACUAAUAUCUUCUGCAGGGUCAGGUCUCCAAACGUGCGUGAACGUCUGAAGAAUUUGCUGGAGACCUGAAGAGUGCCUGAAAGGACGCAGGCUAAUCAUGAAGAAAUGAACUUUCAUUUCUCACGUCCUCAUACUGCUUUAUCUGUUCUAUUACUUGAUGAAAUUGAUCUGAUGAAUUGAUCUCAUAUUCUUCACUGAUGAAGUAUAUGAGUUCAUAAGUUGCACUAAUUCAUCUGCGGGAUGAUCAACCCAAAGCCACUGAGUGGGUCCUCGAUAGUGGAUGCACAAAUCACAUGACUUGUGACAAGAAUCUAUUAAUGGAUGCUCCCUUAUCACCAUCGCAUCUGAAGCAUAUCAUCUUCGCUGAUAAAGGCAAAAGUCAGGUAUUGGGUCUAGGUAAGGUUGCGAUCACAAAGGAUCGACACAUGGACAAAGUCAUGCUUGUCGAGUCCAUAGGAUACAACCUCAUGUCUGUCUCAAUGCUUUGUGAUCUUGAUAUGGUUGUUGUCUUUGGCAAGUAUCGUUGUGUUGUGGUUAUGGAAGCUGACAAUUCCAAAGUCUUCGAAGGCUUUAGGAGAGGAGACUUGUAUAUUGUUGAUUUCUCUACAGGACCGCAACCAGCCGUGUGCCUACUUGCAAAAGCUUCAGAAGGCUGGCUAUGGCAUCGACAACUUGGUCAUGCAGGCAUGAGGAAUUUGCACAUGCUUGCGAAGAAGAAGCAUGUCAUUGGCAUUGAGAAUGUCAAAUUCCUCAAGGAUCACUUAUGCGGAGCCUGUGAAGCUGGAAAGAUGACCAAGGCUAAGCAUCCAACGAAGACUAUCAUGACCACUACCCGACCAUUUGAAUUGCUUCAUAUGGAUCUCUUCGGUCCUAACCAUUAUUCUGCAGUCACAAAUGAUGCAUCUCUCUAUGGCUUUGUUAUUGUUGAUGAUUACUCUCGUUACACUUGGGUACAUAUUGUCACUUACAAACAUGAAGUGCAAGAAGUCUUCAAACGAUUUUCCUCGAGGGCUUCAACCAACUUCGGUGUGAAAAUCAAGCACAUCAGAAGUGACAAUGGAACUGAGUUCAAGAAUUCUGGUCUUGAUGACUAUCUUGAUGAACUUGGUAUUACUCAUGAGUUAUCUGCUCCUUAUACUACUCAACAGAAUGGCGUCGUGGAGCACAAGAACAGAACUCUUGGUGAGAUGGCUCGCACUAUGCUUGAUGAGUACAAGACGCCUCGUCACUUCUGGAUUGAGGCAAUUUAUAUUGCGUGCCACAUCAUCAACAGGGUAUAUCUUCACAAAUUCUUCAAGAAGACUGCCUAUGAACUCCUCACUGACAAGAAACCCAAUGUGAGUUAUUUCAAAGUCUUCGGUGCUAAAUGUUGGAUUAGAGAUCCUCAUCACAAUGCUAAAUUUGCACCGAAAGCACAUGAAGGUUUUAUGCUUGGUUACGGAAAGGACUCGCACACCUACAGAGUCUUCAACAAUGUUCUUCACAAGGUUGUUGAAACUGUAGAUGUGCGGUUCGAUGAAACUAAUGGCUCACAAAGAGAGCACCUACCCUCUGUGAUAGAUGAACCAGCACCUGAGGAAACUAUCAAGUUCAAGGCUACUGAGGAUGUCAUUCCUACCGAAGAAUCUGCUGAAGAAUUCAUUCCAGAACGUGAAGAACGUUGAGCUAAUGCACCUGAAGAAAAUGCUGAAGAAAAUGGUGCCGAAGAAAAUGCUGAUCAAAUUCCUCGACGACAACCAGCUCAUCCUCGCGUUGCAAAAGAAGUGCAAGUUGAAAAGAUCAUCGAUGACAUUGAAGCACCAGGUCCUCUCACAUGCUCAAAAGCUUCAGAUUUAUCUAACUUUUGUGGGCACUAUGCUUUUGUCUCUAUCAUAGAGCCCACUAAGGUAGAUGAAGCAUUUCUGGAGCCUGAGUGGAUUCAGGCCAUGCAAGAAGAAUUACAUCAAUUUGAGCUCAACAACGUCUGGGAACUGGUUAAACGUCCAGAUCCUCGCAAGCACAAUAUCAUUGGCACAAAGUGGAUCUACCGCAAAAAGCAAGAUGAAAAUGGCCUUGUGGUGAGGAAUAAGGCAUGGCUUGUAGCUCAAGGCUACACACAGGUUGAGGGAAUUGAUUUUGAUGGAACUUUUGCACCUGUUGCUAGACUUGAGGCUAUUCGCAUAUUACUUGCUUAUGCUAACCAUCAUGAUAUCACUCUAUAUCAAAUGGAUGUGAAAAGUGCAUUCCUCAAUGGUAAGCUUGAGAAAGAAGUAUAUGUUGCUCAACCCCCAGGUUUUGAAGAUCCAAAGCAUCCUGACAAAGUCUUUAGACUCAAUAAGGCCCUCUAUGGCCUCAAGCAGGCCCCUCGGGUAUGGUAUGAUACUUUGAAGGAAUUCCUAAUGAAGAAAGGCUUCAAACCCGGUUCACUCGACCCUACUCUUUUCACUAAAUCUUAUGAUGGUGAAUUGUUUGUGUGCCAAAUAUAUGUUCAUGAUAUUAUCUUUGGCUGUACUGACCAACGUUAUAGUGAUGAAUUUGCCUAUAUGAUGAGUGAAGAAUAUCAAAUGUCUAUGAUGGGAGAAUUGAAAUUCUUCUUAGGUCUUCAAAUUCGUCAACAGCGCAAUGGCAUAUUCAUAUCUCAGGAGAAAUACCUCAAGGAUGUACUAAGGAAAUUCGGCAUGCAAGAUUGCAAAGGCGUCAAAAUUCCGAUGCCCACAAAUGGCCAUCUGUGCACUGAUGAAAAUGGUAUUGACUUCGAUCAAAAGGUAUACCGCUCCAUGAUUGGUUCUUUAUUGUAUUUAUGUGCAACUAGGACAGAUAUUAUGCUUAGUGUUUGCAUGUGUGCCCGAUUUCAAGCUACAUCGAAGCAAUCACACCAUAAGGCUGUGAAGGAUAUUCUUCGAUAUCUAGCUCACACACCAACACUUGGAUUAUGGUACCCCAAGGGCUCGGCUUUUGAUCUCAUUGGAUAUUCUGACUCUGACUAUGCUGGUGAUCGUGUGGACUGCAAGUCAACGUCUUGUACAUGUCAUUUCCUCGGACGAUCUUUGGUCUGUUGGUCCUCGAAGAAACAGAACUGUGUAUCACUGUCUACUGCUGAAGCUGAGUACAUUGCCGCUGGUUCUUGCUGUGCUCAAUUGCUGUGGAUGAAGCAAACUCUCAAGGACUAUGGCGUCAACAUGAAGAAUGUGCCUCUCUACUCUGACAAUGAGAGUGCCAUCAAGAUUGCUCACAACCCAGUUCAGCACUCGAAGACAAAGCACAUUCAGAUUCGUCAUCAUUUUCUUUGCGAUCAUGUGUUGAAGGGCGACAUUUCCAUUGAGCAUGUGAAGACUGAAGAACAGCUAGCCGAUAUCUUCACAAAGCCCUUGGAUGAGAUGAGAUUUAGCAAGUUGCGGUGUGAGCUAAAUAUCUUAGAAUCUUCGAAUGUUCUUUGAAAAGGACACUCAUCCUAACACUUAUGCAAAAUUGAUGACUUAGAUGUGCAACACAUGAAGAAACAUUUUUCUUCAAUCAAUGAAGAGUAACACUCUAAGUGUGAAGAAAUUAACAAAGAAUUUGAUUCUUAGAACCCUACGACAAUUGUAUGCGAUGUCUGAAAUCAUCAUUCUUAUACGGUGGGUCACGCCACCACCAAAAGUUGAAAAUCUUCAGUUUGAAUUUUUCCUCAGUGAAAUUCCUCAGUUGUUCAUUUUCUUCAACUUUGCAUUGUCUUCACUGUUUCCGUCGUUUUUCUUCACUGGCUAUAUAUAUAUAUAUAUAUAUAUAUAUAUAUAUAUAUAUAUAUAUAUAUAUAUGUUUAUGUCCUCUAGAGCAUUCACUUAUGGCUAAUUCUUCAAGUUGCUUUUUCUGCUAAGUGAAUGUGAUCGGACCCUUCCCCCCUCUAUGCUAAACUCAACCCAAUCUUUUCACAAAUUCUUCAUGUGCGUUCUAUUUGAAACUCGUUCAAAAUCUUCAGUGUGUCCUUGUCAGCUGAAGAAUUUGCGAACGGAACAUUAAAACUUAUCUUAUCCAAAUUUUCGGCUAUGCCGCUCAAACCGUUCCGCAUCCCACGAAAUACUUAUCUGUUCACCCACGAUCUAACACGAUUUCCACUUCUCAGUACGUGGGUGACACAUGUCAAGCAAAUGAGAAGGGUCAGGGGCACGUUCGUCCAAAAUCUUCGGGCGAACAGUUUUUCACCGUGGCUAUAAAUACCCCCUCUGCCCUUCCUCACUUCCUUUACUCCGCUCGACCUCUCUCCAGCUCGAGCUUCUCAAACCCUAGCGCCGCCACUACUUCAUCGUCGCCGGUGAGGAAGAGCUUCACUGCCUCGACCUCGUCGCCGCCGUACUCGCGCCGGCCGCGAAAAUCUUCACUCCGCCGCCGCCGUAGCUGUCUUCCUCCGCCGAGUUAGGGCGUCGAAGAUCUGCACUAACGAACUUCACAUCUCCACAUCCCAGUUCGUCGUGUUCUUCAUUCAGGGUAAUUAAAAGUUACUUUUACUGCCCUCUUUGAUUCAAAUGAUUUCUACAAAAUCUUCAAAGGUGUUUAUUCUUCACACACUAAACACCUCACAUGUCAUCUUUCUUGAUUCGUUUCUCUAAGCAAUAAUUUUUCUUCAAGAUUCCUCAAUUGUGUGGAUCUUCGAUCUAUACAACUCUGGAACCUAAGACAAAGAACGCUUAGUGAAAUUCUUCAAGACUCAUCUGGUCAAAUUCCUCAAACUUGUUCUUUUUGAAAAACCUUCUGAGAACGCAUAUGACCUCUCCAAAUUCCUCGCAACUAUACUCUGUUCACAGGUACUCAUGUCCGCUGCUGAAUCUCUAGGUUCUCAUCAACUUAACUCAUUUGCAGCGUUCCUCGAAGAAAAGUUGCAUACUUCUUCAGAGAAUUCAAUUGUUCAAAUUCCUCAUCUGAAGAAAAUGGCUGAUGGAAAGAAGCCACAGAAAGGAGGAAAGAGGCCUGAGGUCAACAUUGCAUUUGAAAUCCCUGAGGACAUCUAUGCUGGGUACUGCACACCCCCUGAGGAAGAUAAAAAUCAGCGCAAGGUGCGCAUUCAGAAGAUAGAGAGGAGAUGGGCAAGAGAGUGGAGGGAGUACAGAUAUGUUACUCCCAAGUAUAUGAAGAAAUUCACACUCUAUCCUCCAUGCCCAAGACCUCCAUUGUCACCUGGCCUAGAAGCAGAUCCCACCAGCCUCAAGCGCGGUGAGGAUUAUCCUGAUGAAUGGGCCAAGCGCUAGGCCAAGAUGGCUAGACAAGCCAGAGAAGCAGUGAGGAAAUUCAAUGAAGACUCUGCUGCUGCCGCUGAGGCCUUUGUCAAGCUGAAGAAAUCCAUGGCAAAGAAGCCUGCACGUAAGCCAAGUGCUUCACCUUCAAUGUCAUUAAGGCCAAGUUCCUCAGCAAUGCCCUCACGGCCAGAAUCCUCAAAGCCCUCACGGCCAAUUCCUCACGCUGCUCCUGCUCCGACCAAGUCCUUAGCGCCUGUGCAUCUUGCCACGUGCCAAAGGACUACAGGAAUCUCUAUUGCCUCAGGAGCUUUAGCUAGUUCCUCAGCUGCACCAAAUUCUUCAACAGGACCCUCUCUGCUAAAGACAGAGACCACUGCUGGACGAGGUUCUCGCCCAAGUCCUCACAAGAAGCAGGCCGCCUUCCAAGUGCCGUCUGAAGAAGACGAAGCUGAUGAUGAAGAACUUGCUGAAAUCAUCAGAGAUAGGCAAGUCAGGGCUGCUAGAGCCAAGGGCACAAAUGUGCCCCUGCUUUUGGAUCCAAAGUUGAUCCUCGAUUACAUUGAUCUCUGGCACAAGGACCCAAACACUCCUAUGCCUGAUUUCAAGUUGACUCCUGGCCAAAGUCAUAUGCUGACUGCCUUCAUCCAACAAGAGAAAUGGAAAUUUGAGAAGGCUAGGCAGAUCAACAAAGCGCAGUACAGGAAAGAAAAUUCCUGAAGAACAACAUUGUCACUAUGACAACUGAUGAUCUUGUGAAGAUCCAGUCUGAAAUCAAAGUCCUCAGUGAUGAUUUCAAUGCUUACUAUGCUGAUUGGCAAGGAGCCAAGGUCAGGUUUGUUAAACUGACUGAGAAGUUCACCUCCAAUGUUGCAACCCCAUCGCAACAAGAAAUUCCUCAGACUGAAGCAUCUGCUCAGCCAACUAAAGAACAUGCCAGCACCAAUGAUGACAUUCAGGCUGCUGAAGAAAAUGUGAGUUCCAGGGCUGAUGACUGCAUUCCAGCCGCUGAUGAAAUUGCCAGGGCAUCCACUAGUGGUGCGCCUGAAGAAUAUGAAGAGGUCAGGGCAACUGCAUCAGUUGUGCCUGAAGAAAAUUAACCACAUUCCUCUGCUCCUCCUGCGCCUACUCCAACUCCAAUCCUUCCAUCUGCAUCAGAUGUGAAGAAGACCAAGGCUGCAGAGCGUGCAACAAUGAAGAAAAGGAAAGCAUUAGCUUCUUCAGAUUCUUCAGCUCCGAAGAAGAUGAAGAAAUUGACCAGCUCAGUUGCAAACCCCAUUGAUGCUGUUCCGAUCUCAACCAUGCCAUCAAAGGACCUUGUUCCUUUUGAUGAAGAAUAUGUGAUCCCUAGCGGAUCUGAUGAAGAAAAUCCUUCUGCUGCUUCGUCAGGGCAGAUGGAUGAAGAAAUUGAAGUGGAUGAAAUCCCUUCAACUCCAGCUGUUUCCUCGCCUAUGCCUCAGUUUACUGCUGAACAGGCCAGCGUUGAAGAAAUGGAAGAUGAAGAUGUGGACAUUGGUUGUACCACACCAGUGAUGAAUGAUGACUUUUGGGAAAGUCAGCACCCCAACUCUCCACUCUUCACACCUUUACAACAAAUUCCUCAGUCCCCUGUUGCUACUGAAGUACAAAUGGGAUCUGAAGAACGUUGUGCAACCCCAUCUGUCCAUGAAGAAAUUCCAGCCACUAGUGCUGAAGAAAAUGUACAUGAAGAAUUGAAGACCCAGGCUGCCACUGAAGAGGAACCAGAAAUUCCUCAGCCUAAAGAACCUGAGAUUGCGAUUCCUGAGGUUGUAAUGCAACUGACUGACACUCCUCUGCCAGCUGAUUGCGAUUCCGACCGUUGCUGUGUUAUGCGCCAGUUGUCCCAAAAUAUCUACCCACCUAACGGUCAUAUCAUUGAAGGGCAUUUAUGUCUUAUCAUGUCGGGCUACUCCCUAGGCUAUAAAUAGCUGCCCCCUACAACCACUAGCUGGUUGGCUGCUCCGAGAGAAACUGACAUUUGUCAUUUGAGAGCAUCCCAUCCUCCGAGGACUUUGAGCGAAAAUCAUCGAGUGAGGAAAACCCCAAACCCAAACACCUACAAACCCAAAGUGAUUGAGCAUCACUGAAGAGAUUGAUCCUGCCUGGAUCCGACGCUUGUUACCUUUGAAGACUGUGCUUCUUCCAGAUGGUUAGGCGUCAUGGUCUAGAGCAUCCAAGAGGAAUUGUAGAUCGCCGAGUGACUGAGUUUGUGAAGGUUCGGAAGUCACCUGAAUACUUACCACGAGUGAUUGGGUGAGGUCUGUGUGACCUUAGCUCAAGGAGAAUACGGUGAGGACUAAGUGUCCUGGACUGCGUGUUCAGGACUGGGUGUCCGGGACUGUGUGUCCUCAGGUUUAAAUACCUAACCGCUCCAACCAGAUGUACAACUGAGACAGCAGUUGGAACUGGUCUACCAAAUCAUUGUCUUCACCAAGCUUACUGGUUCUAUUUCCUCAACUCUUUCAUUUCCUCAUAACUGUGCUGUGUGCUUGUUCAUAUAUGUGUUUGAAGAAUUUGACUGAAGAUUUUCUCAAUUUCCUCAUUUCAAUUUCUUCAGUCUGUUUGUCUUCAUCAUGUGUUAUCUUGUGUUUACGCUUUCUGUACUCUGUGCCUGUCUUCAUUUCAUCAUGAUGACCAUGCUUGUAUCCUGUUAUGUUUACUUCUGGGUACUUAUUCCGCUGCAAGUAGUUCUUCGCUAAGGAAUUUCCUCACCCUCAAAUUCCUCAGUGAAGAAUUCAUAAAAAUCGCCUAUUCACCCCCCCUCUAGUCGAUAUAACGCACUUUCAGCUUAUCAUAUAGAUAAAAAAGGGUAGCCCCCGAGUGCUCCUCGAGGGACCCGUUGUCUUUGCUCUUAAUACAAAAGGUGGUGUGGUACAUACUGCAUUAACUGUAAAAUUCUCGGAGGAGAUUUGCGUUCCAUGGGCGCUCUCCUUCCUUGACGGAAUUGUCCCUCUUGCGUGCCCUGGCCUUCUACGCGUCGAUGAGAUAGUAGGAGUCGUUACCCAAGGCUUUGCUGAUGAUGAAAGGCCCUUCCCAAGGGGCCGAGAGCUUGUGCUGGCCGGCUGUUCGCUGGAUCAGCCAGAGGACAAGGUCCCCCUCUUGGAAGGAUCGUGGCUUGACCUUCCGGCUGUGGUAGCCGCGCAGGCCUUGCUGGUAGAUGGCGGACUGGCUGAGUGCCAGUAGCUGGCCCUCCUCCAGCAGGUCGACACCGUCUUCUCGCGCCUCCCUCGCCUCCGCCUCCGUGUACAUGGUGACGCGAGGCGAGUCGAACUCAAUGUGAGUUGGGAUGACGUCCUCGGCCCCAUACAUGAGGAAGAAGGGAGUGAAGCCGGUUGCUUUGGUCGGCGUGGUAUGGAGACUCUAGAGGACGGCCGGUAGCUCUUCGAUCCAGCAGCCGGCCGAGCGCCCCAGCGGCUCGACUAGUCGGGGCUUCAUGCCAGACAGGAUGAGGUCGUUUGCUCGCUCGACUUGGUCGUUUGACUGCGGAUGGGCAACGAAUGCUAGGUCCAGUCGGAUGCCCUGUGUCACGCAGAAACGGGCCAAGGCGCCUUUGGCGAAGUUUGUGCCAUUGUCGGUGAUGAUGCUGUGCGGUACACCAUACCGGAUGGUGAUAUCUGCGAUGAAGGUCACAGUAGUCGGACCGUUCAGCUUCUUGAUUGGCUUUGCUUCAAUCCACUUGGUGAAUUUGUCCACGGCGACCAGCAAAUGGGUCAUGCCGCCGCGUGCUGUCUUGAAUGGGCCCACGAUGUCCAGCCCCCAGACGGCAAACGGCCAAGUGAGGGGGAUGGUCUUGAGUGCAGAAGUCGGCAGGUGCUUCUUGGAGCUGAAGCGUUGGCAUCAUUUGCACUUCUUGACCAAAUCCUUGGCGUCGUCCAAAGCAGUCAGCCAAAAGAAUCCAUGGCAGAAAGCUUUGGCGACGAGGGAUCUGGAGGCCGCGUGGUGGCCGCAUUCGCCUUGGUGAAUGUCUAUGAGGAUUGCUCUGCCCUUCUCCGGCUCUACGCAGUGCUGAAAGACCCCAGUCACGCUGCACCUAACGAGCUCUAUGUUCACUAUUGUGUAUGUUGCUGCCCGGUGUUGCACUUGCCGGGCCAAAAUCUUGUCGGCUGGUAACUCUCUGCUUACCAGGAAGUUGAGGAUGGGCUGCACCCAAGAUGGUGCUUCUACCACUGUCAUCACGGCCACUUGUACUAGGGCGGUUGGGUUGGGAGGUGGUGGGUUGGAGUCGGCCGCCGCUUGCUGUGUCAUUGAAGUCCCCGGGCCGACUGCUGCAGCCCCCGGGCCGGGUUCUAAAGUUCCCGGGCCAAGUGCGACUGCUGCAGUCCCCGAGCCACCUGCCGAAGUCCCUGGGCCGGGUUGUGAAGUCCCCGGGCCGGGUGCGAGUGCUGCAAUCCCCGGGCCGCCUGCCGAAGUCCCCGGGCCAACUGUUGCAGUCCCCAAGCCGGAUCCGACUGUUCCGGGAUCAGUCGGCACGAAGAUGGACUCUGAUUCCGGUGAAGGCUUGAUAGACAGCUUGCGUAGGCACUGGAGGGAGACGCCGGCUAGUAUUGCCUGCCGGGUGGAGCCAAUCCGUGCCAGGGCAUCAGCUUACUCGUUGUCAGCACGUGGAACGAGGAGGAACUCGCACCCGUCGAAGUAUCCACUGAUCUGCUAGAUGAGGAAGCGGUAGCUCGCCAUGUCUGCAUCCUUGGCGUCCCAAUCGCCAGACGACUGCUCGACCACCAAGUCCGAGUCGCCGUAGCAUAGCACUCGAUGGAUGCCGAUUUCUUUGGCCAGUUGGAGCCCGUGGACGAGUGCCUCGUACUCGGCCACGUUGUUGGAGGCGGCGAAGUGAAUCCGCAGCGUGUAUCUGAGCUUGUCGCCUUUGGGAGAGGUGAGGACGAUGCCAGCUCCCAAACCGGUGUGCAUCUUGGAGCCGUCAAAGUGCAUUCGCCAAUGGGUGGAAUCCGGCGCUGGCAGCAGGUACUGGGUCUCGGCCCAGUCGACGAGGAAGUUGGCCAGCGCUUGGGACUUGAUGGCGGUGUGGGGCUGGUAGAGGAUGGUGUGGGGAGCUAGUUCGAUGGCCCACUUGGCCACCCGGCCUGAUGCACCUCUUUUGCCUAUGAUCUUGGUGAGUGGGGAAGUGCAGACGACCGUGAUGGAGUGCUCUUGGAAGUACUGCUUGAGCUUCUUGGCGGCAAAGUACACGCCGUAGCACAUCUUUUUGGUAGUGGGGUAGUUCUGCUUGGAGGCCGACAACACCUCACUCAGGUAGUAGACAGGCCACUGGACCGGCUGUGCCUUGCCGUCUUCUGGGCGCUCGACCAUGAUCAAUGUGCUGACCACCUGGCUGGUGGUGGCGAUGUAGAGGAGCAUGGGCUCCUUAGCAGCCAGAGCCGCCAGGAUGGGCGGCGUGGUCAGCAUCUUCUUGAGCUGGAGGAAAGCCUCGUCCACCUUGUCGUUCCACUCGAAGCAAGUGGUUUUCUUCAUUAGCUGGUACAGGGGAAGAGCCUUCUCGCCCAGCCGACUGAUGAACCGGCUGAGAGACGCCAAGCACCUAGUGAACAUAUGGACGUCGCGCAGCCGGGUGGGUCUCUCCAUCCGCUCGAUGGCCUUGAUCUUCACAGGGUUGCACUCGGUGUCGUGUUCAGAGACAAGGAAACCAAGGAGCUGGCCGGCUGGGACUCCGAAGACACACUUCUCCGGGUUGAGCUUGAUUUGAAAACGACGCAGAUUAUCAAAGGUCUCCUUGAGAUCCUCCAGGAGGGUGUCGUGAUUCUCUGUCUUCACCACAAUAUCGUCUACAUAGACGUGGGCAUUUCUACCGAGUUGCUUGAGGAGGCACUUCUGCAUGCAACGCUGAAACGUGGCGCCGGUAUUUCUCAAGCCGAACGUCAUGGUCAGGUAGCAGAAGGCUUCGAAUGGUGUGAUGAACGCGGUCUCAGCCGAUCGGCUGGGUUCAGCUUGAUAUGGUGGUAGCCGGAGUAGGUGUCAAGGAAAGACAGCAGCUCGCAUCCGAUUGUGGAGUCAAUCACUUGAUCUAUCCGAGGCAAGGAAACGGAUCCUUGGGGCAGGCUUUGUUGAGGCUAGUGUAGUCAAUACACAUGCGCCACUUGUUGUUCUUCUUCAAUACAAGGACUGGGUUGGCAAGCCAAUCCGGGUAGAACACUUCCAUGAUGAAGCCAGCUGCCAGAAGCCGGGCUAUCUCUUCACCAACAAUUCUUCUCUUCUCUUCUGACAGGCGGCGGAGGGGUUGCUUGACCGGCUUUGCAUAUGGUCUGACAUGUAGCUUGUGCUUGGCGAAAUCCAUCGGAACACCAGACAUGUCUUUGGGAGACCAUGCAAAGAUGUCCCGAUUCUCACAGAGGAAAUCGACGAGCUCGCUUUCCUAUUUGCUAUCGAGGUUGGUCCCCACGAUAGCGUGCCUCUCCGGGUGCUCCGGGUCCAAGGGUAUCUUCUUGGUCUCUUUGGCUGGCUGGAAGGAGCCCUGGGCCUCCGACUCUUUGGGGUCUGGCGACAUGUCCGGCUGCUUGCUGGCCAUGGCCACAACCCGGUCAAGGAGUCGCUUCUCGGCGGUGAUGACGAGGGACUCGGCCAGCCGACUGCUGGCGGUAGCACAUGCGACCAACUUCUGGUAGUCGCCAGCAAUGGUGAUGAUGCCCUUGGGACCCGGCAUCUUCAUCUGGAGGUAGGCAUACUGAGGCACCGCCAUGAACUUGGCGAGUGCUGGUCGGCCCAGGAGCGCGUGGUAAGGGCUUUCCAGAUCGACCACCUCGAACCAGAUCGGCUCACGGCGGAAGUGGUCCUUGUCACCGAACAGGACGUCUAUCUUGAUCUUGCCGAUUGGAGAGCAGGAAAGGCCGGGUACAAUGCCGUGGAAGACAGUCCGACUGGGCUGGAGCUGUUUCUCUUUGAUGCAGAGCUUCUCCAUGGUGUCGCGGUAGAGGAUGUUGAUGCUGCUACCGUCGUCUAUCAGGAUCCGGGAGAAGCGGCAGGCCCGCCUCUCCAUUGAGAAGGUUGAGUCCAACACCAUGGCGUAAGCACCCGACGAUGGCAUCACGGCCGGGUGGUCAGUGCGGCUCCAGCUGAUGGGCCUCUCGGACCAAUGCAUGAACUCUGGGACUUCUAAGGCGACCGCGUUCACCUCCCGGUGUUGCUGACGCCGACUGUGCUUGUCGUCGGCCAUGCUGGUGAAGACGACGUAGGCUCCAUGCUCUUCGGGGAACUCACCUUGGAUUGCACCGACUGAACGGGCCGCCGGCAGCUGAGGAGGCAGAGCCGACGGGCCGGCAGGUGGAGGAGGCAGGCCCUCGCCCUUAGCGACACAGGUGAGCCAGUGUCACUUCCGGGUGGUGUGGUUGGACGGCUUCGCGCCGCUGUGGAACUUGCAGGGAGCAUCAAGGGUUUGCUCGAAAGAGAAGGCGGGCAACCAAGCGGACUUGCCGCCUUUCUGACGCUUGGGGCUAGGUUGUCCCUCUGGCUGCUGGUCUUCGACUGUUGCUACUUGCCGGCUAGUAGAAGCCGGUUGCGGGGCCUUGCGCUUGUUGUCGUUCGGCUGCUGCCGUCGGCUGGAGUCAUCAGCCGGCGUUCGAGGAGCCGGAGGGGUCACCUUUCUAGACGUGUCUACUUGCAGCUCCGACGUCAUAGAGGAGUCGGCCGUAGCGUACUUGUCCGCUAUGAUCAGCAGCUCGUCUAGGGUAGUCGGCUCGUCACAGAGGAGCCUGUGCUUGAGCAGGGUGCCUUCUCUGCACCCAGCGGUGAAGUAUUCUAUGGCCUUCACCUCAUGCACCCCCUCGCAGGAGUUGCGCAGCUCAGCCCAGCGCGUUAGGUAGUCGCGGGUGGACUCAGUCGGGCCUUGGACACACAGGGAGAGCUGGCGGGGCUUGGGCGGCCGCUUGUAGGUGCUGGUGAAGUUGCGGAUGAAGACAUCGGUGAAGUCUUGCCAGCUGUUGACGCUGUAAGGCUUGAGGCUGUUCAGCCAUGUCCGGGCCGUGCCCUGGAGCAUGAGCUGAACGUACUUCACGGCAACGUGCUUGUUGCCGUUUGCUAUUUUGAAGGCUGUGGAGUAGUCAACCAGCCAGUCCUCCGGCUUCAUGGAGCCGUUGUACUUGGGAGUGUCUCGAGGGAGCGAGAACCCUUUGGGGAAGGGCUCGUCCCGAAUGCGGGGGCCGAAGCAAGGUGGGCCGAUUGCAUCUUCUUCUUCUACCGCCACGGACUGAGCAAGCCGCUCGAUCCGGUGGCAGGCGUCGUUCUCUCCGACUCCUUCACGGGGGCCUAGCCGGCCCCCGAGAGUCGGGUGCUCAACAGUGGCGGGGAAGCACGCCUCUCCCUACGAGGUGGAGGCGGACGGUCGCUCCGCCGUUCCACUGCUCGAGGGCAGCCGUCUUGGUCGCGCUCAAUCGUGAUGCGUGUGCGGCUGCAUCUAGCAGCCGGCUCUUGGUCCCGUCGAUCGCGGGCACCGCCUGUCAGUGACCGGGAGGUCGCACCAUGCUCACGGCGCGGGGGGAGGUUUUCAGCUUGUAAGCCACGUUCCACCAUGCGGCGGCCGUGUUGAGGAGCUGCUGGAUGCGCUCCAUCAUGUAGCGACGCUCGUCGCCCUCUAGGUGGUCCAGCUCGUCUGCCGCCGCCUGGGCGGCACGCAAGUUCUCCAUCGGGUAGCGUAGACGGGGCGAUCGGCUCCCAGCAUGCUGGCGAUGGCCGCACCAUGCUGCCGGACCGUGCCCACCCUGCUGGGUUCACCGGCAGCCGGCCUGCCGCAGACGGCGCGGUCGAUCUCGCGCUGGUAGGCUUCGGUGAGGCGUAUCAUGGCCGCCAGCUUGUUGGCGCUGUCGAGGAGCGAGACGUAGAAUGUUUCCAGCGUCGCGCCAGGCGCUAUGGGAGCGGACAGGUCCCGCAUUGCCACCUGCAGCGGUUCUUGGCCUGCCCUGUCAGAGGCUCCGUCGUGGCUGAUGACCAGCACCUCCUUGACGGUGCUAGCGCUGGCGCCGCUGUCCACAGGAGGGAGCAGGUCGUCGAUGAUCACCACGUGGUCGGGGAAGGCAUCGGUGGAUGCCGCGUCGAAGUCGAUGAGCAUCUCGACGGGCGGGUCGGUGGAGCCAACGGACUCCAGGUCGGAGGCAGGCUCGUUGGCGAUGUGGAGCUUGCCGAGGAGGUCGACGAGGCAGCUCUCGGAGCUGGCUGCUCCCUCGUCGGGCGUAGGCUUGUCAGAGAGGCGGAUCCCGCCGAUGAGAUCGGCGAGGCAGCUUGCAGCGCAAGCGGCUUCCGUGCCACGUAGCGCGUCGACGAAAACGCCAUCAGGCAUGCCGGGCUGGCCGUGCUCGCCACGAAGGCAGAGGGUUCCCAUCCAGAACGUGUUUCCGGAUGACGGUGCACCUUGCCCCACGGUGGGCGCCAAAUGUCGGGGAUAUCUAGCGGCAUAUGCCAGGGGGUGGCUUAUCAUGGAUGGGGACAAGCGUACGUCGCCGGGCUCCAAAAGUGGGAGUGAGCGAGACCGCAUACGCCUGCGAAUCUUACCCAGGUUUGGGGCUCUCCAUGGAGAUAACACCCCUAAUCCUGCUCUGUGGGGUCCCCGUAUGAUGGCUAUCGUCAAUAGAGUAGCUACAAGAUCGCUCCUUGAGCUGUUUCGUCUAGAGGAGGAAGAAGGGCAAGGCUAGCUCUAUCUUCUCCUUCUAUGGGUGUGUGUAUGAUGGUAAAGGUUCUGAACCCCCUGCAUGGGGAAGCCUGGGGGUUUAUAUAGGCCUACCCCCAGGGGUACAAUGGUAAUCCGGCCGGGUGUAGGACCCGGCCGUCAGUGUCUCUGGGUGCGGGCUUCUCCGCCGACUGUUGGGACCCGCCGCUUGGUGGGUCCCGCCGGCUGCCGUGAACUGAUGUCGCUUGAAGCUACGUCGGUAUUUCCCCAAAGAGGGAGGGAUGAUGCAGCACAGCGGCGGUAGGUAUUUCCCUCAAAUAUGACACCAAGGUUACCGAACUAGUAGGAGAACCAAGCAACACAACGUAAACAGCCCCUGCUCACAGAUAACAAAUCCUCGCAACCCGACAUGUUAAAGGGGUUGUCAAUCCCUUCCGGGGUACGGCGCCUCAAGAUAGGCAAACGGACGUGAGAUAAAUUGUAGUAGUUUGAUAGAUCGAACGCCAAACAAAAUAAAUAGAAAUAAAAUGCAGCAAGGUUUUUUUGUAUUUUUGGUUUAAUAGAUCUGAAAAUAAAUGAAAGAGAAAAGUAGAUCGCAAAGGAAAAUAUAUGAGAAAGAGACCCGGGGGCCGUAGGUUUCACUAGUGGCUUCUCUCGAGAAAAAUAGCAAACGAUGGAUAAACAAAUUACUGUUGGGCAAUUGAUAGAACUUCGAAUAAUCAUGACGAUAUCCAGGCAAUGAUCAUUAUAUAGGCGUCACGCCCAAGAUUAGUAGACCGACUCCUGCCUGCAUCUACUACUAUUACUCCACACAUCGACCGCUAUCCAGCAUGCAUCUAGUGUAUUAAGUUCAUGGAGAAACGGAGUGAUGCAAUAAGAACGAUGACAUGAUGUAGACAAGAUCUAUCUAUGUAGAUAUAGACCCCAUCAUUUUAUCCUUAGUAGCAACGAUACAUACGUGUCGGUUCACUUCCUGUCACUGGGAUCAAGCACCGUAAGAUCGAACCCACUACAAAGCACCUCUUCCCAUUGCAAGAUAAAUAGAUCAAGUUGGCCAAAAAAACCCAAAUAUCGGAGAAGAAAUAUGAGGCUAUAAGCAAUCAUGCAUAUAAGAGAUCAGAGAAACUCAAAUAACUUUCAUGGAUAUAAAAAGAUAUAACUGAUCAUAAACUCAAAGUUCAUCAGAUCCCAACAAACACGCCGCAAAAAGAGUUACAUCAUAUGGAUCUCCAAGAGACCAUUGUAUUCAGAAUUCAGCGAGAGAGAGGAAGCCAUCUAGCUACUAACUACGGGCCCGAAGGUCUACAAAGAACUACUCACGCAUCAUCAGAGAGGCACCAAUGGAGGUGGUGAACCCCAUCUGAGAUGGUGUCUAGAUUGGAUCUAGUGGUUCUGGACUCUGCGGCGGCUGGAUGAAUAUUUCGUCAACUCCCCUAGGGUUUUGGGAAUAUUGGGGUAUAUAUAGAGCAAAGAGGCGGUUCGGGGGGCACCCGAGGUGGGCACAACCCACCAGGGCACGCCUGGACCUCCUUGCGCGCCACGGUGGGUUGUGCCCCCCUCGGGGCACCCCCUAGGCGCAGCCAGGGCCCAUUAUGUUCCUUCUGGUCCAUAAAAAAUCUCCGUGAAGUUUCGUUGCAUUUGGACUUCGUCUGAUAUUGAUUUCCUGCGAUGUAAAAAACAUGCAGAAAACAGCAACUGGCACUAUGUCAAUAGGUUAGUACCAAAAAUUGAUAUAAAAUGACUAUAAAAUGAUUAUAAAACAUCCAAGAUUGAUAAUAUAACAGCAUGGAACAAUCAAAAAUUAUAGAUACGUUGGAGACGUAUCAUGAACUCGGCCGACAGGUAGGGCCCGCCGCAUGCGGGCCAGGUUGACUGCUUUAUACUGUAGCCUCGCCUCUGAUGACGGAGGCUUUGUCGGGGGGCGCAUGGCUACAGUCCCGCUGCCUGGCAGGCGCUCACUGUAGCCACACCCCGUCUCAUCAGGUUAAUGGCGCGCAGACUCCAGGGGAGGGAGGGCCGCCUGUUAGGAGUCGGCCCACCCUCGACAUCAUCUGUUAGGGAUCCGCCGCCUUCUGGUGGCUUGCGGACAGGUAGGGCCCACCUCCUGCGGGCCAUACCGACCGCCCAUCGUGGGAGCAUGGCUCCUUCUGACAUAGGUGAUGUCAUGGGUCGCGUGGCAACAGUGCCGUGCCGGGCGAGGGGUGUCCGCUUGGUACACCCGCACUGUGGCCACGUUCCGCCCUGGAUUUGGGGGUGGCAGGUCGCACUGUAGCCACGCCCCGUCUCGUCGUGGUUAAGUGGGUGCCAACUUUGAGGGGACGAGGGGCCGCCUGAUAGGAGCCAGCUCCCUCGUGGCCGUCUUCUGACGUCUCGCCGUCUCCCAGCAACCGGCCUCUUAGACCAGCCGGCCCAAGAAGCCAGCCGUACGUCUGGGAGGUGUGAGGGGCGUAGUUAGCCCCGAUGUCUUGAAAUGCCAUGGGGUGCCUAUGAGGCUACCCGUGGUCAAUUACUCCGACAAUGUGCUUUUCUUGUAAUUCAUGAUGCUCUCUUUGUGUUUCAGUUCUUAUCUUUUAUGCGAACAUCAUUGAACUCAUCAUGCCUAGCUAAAAGGCAUUAAAGAAAAGCGCUUGUUGGAGACAACCCAACACUUUUACCUACUGUUUAUGUGUGUUCACAUGAUUAAGAUAUUGUAGUAAUCAUGUUUAUAGCUUUUGUUUCAAUAAAGUGCCAAGUAAAGCCUUUGGGGUAGUAUGGAUGAUAGUUGACUUGAUUCUGUGCAAAAACAAAAACUUUUGUGCCCAGUCCAGGAAUUUCUAAAAUUCACUGGAACGUGAUUUUGAUCUGAAUUUUUUAUAGAUGAUAGAUAUAAAAAUUCCCGGCAUUUUCGUAUUUUUUGAGAUUGUUUGGAGUAGCAUAAGUAUGGUUGGAGUACAAAUUACUACAAACUGUUCUAUUUUUGACAUAUUAUGUUUUCAAUGCAUAGUUUGCUUGUUUCCUACUUUCUAUGGCUUACAUUGCUCAAUAUAAAUUGUGGAAAUGAUGAGGCACAGUAGGCAUUGUGUGAGAACAAUUAUGAUCCUUGUUUUUUGCAGUACCAAAGUGAAUGGUUUGCUCUUUAUCAUCCUAACCUAUCUCACGAAGUUCCGUUAAGUUCUGUGUGAUUGAAGUUUUCAAGUUUUGGGUGCGAUAUUGAUAUGAGGAGAAUAAGGAUUAACAAGACCAUAAGCUUGGGGAUGCCCAAGGCACCCUCAAGAUAAUAUUCAAGGAAGAUCCAAGCAAGUACGGGGCAUCCCCUCUUUCCUCUUCAACAUUAUCGGUAACCUCACUUGGAGCUAUAUUUUCAUUCGUCACAUGAUAUGUGUUUUGCUUGGAGCGUCAUUUUAUUUUUCUAGUAUUUGCUUGCUUUUAUUUAGAAUAAUGUUUUGUAUCUUUUUACUUCAAUAAAAAUGUCAAGUAUAGCCUUUGCCAUGCUUAUUUUGCAAGUCUAUAUGUGGCUAUUUGAAACAGAAAGUUGUACGCUAGUGCAUUAAUUCUUGAAAAAAGUCCGAAUGUGAUAAAAUGUUGAAACUUUUUGCAGAGUAAUCUAUGAUAAAUUUUCUACAAUGUGGUAAUUUUUCAGAAUUUUUGGAGUUAAAUAAGUAUUGAUACUCUUGCAUCCUUUACAGACUGCCAUGUUUUGACAGAUUGCUAUUAUGUUUGCAUUUGUUUACUUGUUUAAUGGUUCUAUUUGAGGAUAGGAGUAUUAAAUAUGCAGAGCCAUUUAGUAUGCAAUGUCGAAUGUUUUUUUAGUUAUUUACUACAGUAGGGAAUGAUAAGGUUAUUGCAUUGAUUUAUACUAACUUAUCUCACGAGUUCUUGUUGAGUUUUGUGUGGAUGAAGUUUUUGAGAUUUAGGGAAACCAUGAUAUAAAAGGAAUUAAGGAGACACAAAAGUUCAAGGUUGGGGAUGCCCAAGGCAUCCCAAGAUAAUAUUUCAAGAAGUCUCAAUCAUCUAAGCUUGGGGAUGCCCCGGUAGGCAUCCCACCUUUAUUCAUCAACAAUUAUCGGUUAGUAUCGGUUGAGUCUAAGUUUUUGCUUGUUCACAUGAGUUGUGCUAUUCUUGGAAUGUCAUUUUAUUUUGUUUUGAUUGUUGUUUUAAUAAACUACUUAGAUCUGAAAGGUUUAAAUAAGAGAGAGUCCUCAAUUAGCCACCCAUUUACUUAAGUACUCGCAUGAUCUUCACUUAUAUCUUUUUGGAGUAGUUUGUCAUUUACUCUCGUGCUUCACUUAUAUACUAUGAGUAAAUUGUUGAAUAAAUUGAAUGUAAUGAAGUUGAAAUUAUAUGUUCAUAUCAUGCCUAGUGGUAGCUUCACAUUGGGUUUAGAAAGUGAAAUCUUUUGAAGCUUGACAAUCACAAUAUUGGUCAUACAAGCAAUUCAUGCAUGAAUGAUUACUAUAAGGAAGAGAACAUUCACAUGCAAAUAUAUUAUCUUGGACAUCUUCUAUGAUUGUGAAUACCCAUUAAUUAUUUUCAAACUUGAGCAAAAUAGUUGAAGUUGGACAAGGAAGACAACGUAAUGAGUUAUGGUUGUGUAUAUUUGGAUAGAAGUUAUAUUGUCAUGCGUCCUCCAACAUGUGGUGUUUGCCUAGGAUCUUUUGCUAGCCAAAAAUUCAUACUAAGUAGAGAUACUACUUGUGCAUCCAAAAACCCCUUAAACCCAGUUUCUUGCCAUGAGUGUCCACCAUACGUACCUACCUAUGGAUUGAAUAAGAUCCUUCAAGUAAGUUGUCAUCGGUGCAUAAAGCAAUAACAAUUGCUCCUAAAUAUGUUUGAUCUUUUAUUGUAAGGGAAAAUUGAGCGUUAUACGAACUUGUGAUGACAAAGUAAUAAAAGCGACGGACUGCAUAAUAAAGGUUGCUAAUAUAACAUGGUGUUCCUUUGCAUUAAGAGUUUGGGCAUCCAAAAAUUAAAAGCGCAUGACAACCUUUGCUUCCCUCUGCAAAGGGCCUUACUUUUCAGUAUUUACUUUUAUGCAAGAGUCAAUAGUAUGCAUUCCCAUUUGAACCUCAAUUACUCUCUAGUUGGCAAGCAUCAUGUGGUGGGGAAAGAUCUAGGCACAUAUGACCAGUCAAAUAUAUUUGAUCAUGAUUUAUUAUUUUUGACAAUUAUCUCUAUGAUAAAUGAGUUGGGAGGCAAAAUAUUAAGCCCCUAUCUUUCUCUGUGUUCGAUGGAUGCCAUUUGUUCUAAGAAUAUGCUUUGAGUAGUAGCAAUCAUGGAAGACUAUAUGAUGAUUGAGUAUGUGGAGCUCUUACUUAGACUCUAUUGAAUAAGUUGAAUCGCAAUUGUUUGGUGACUAAGAAUAUAGGUUGUUGAGUUUCAAGAGAAUUCAUUGCUUGAACCUUAACAUGUGAAUUGGUUGCUACUUUGUCAUGAUGAGUUUUAUGAGAAAGAGUUGCUAUUAUGAUGCUAGGAAAAGUGAUUGAAAUUAUCAUUGAUCAAACUUAUGCACUAUGCUAGCAUUCACAUUUCAUAAAUUAUUUGUUUUAUCAUUUACCUACUCGAGGACGAGUAGGAAUUAAGCUUGGGGAUGCUGAUACGUCUUCAACGUAUCUAUAAUUUAUGAAGUAUUCAUGCCAUGUUUACAAGAAUUUUAUAUGGUUUUGGUAUGAUUUGCAUGGAACUAACCCGGACUAACGUUGUUUUCAGCACAACUACCGUGGUGUUGUUUUUUGUGCAGAAAUGAAAGUUCUCCAAAUGAGCUGAAACUUUUUGACGAUUUUUCUUGGAACAAAGAGACCCCCGAAGCAUCAUGGAAGGAACAGAAGGUGAAGGAGUAGGGCACAAGACACCGGGGCGAGCCAGGGGGCCCAGGCGCGCCCCGGUGGGUUGUGCUCACCGCGAGGCCCAUCUUCGCGUGAACCGAAGCCAAAAAUCCUAUAAAUAGAGAAACCAUCAAAAAUAACCCUAGAUCAGAAGUUCCACCUUAGCAAGCCUCUGUAGCCAGGAGAAACCAAUCUAGACCCCGUUCCGGCACCCUGCCGGAGAGGGAAAUCAUCACCGGUGGCCAUCUUCAUCAUCCCGGCGGCCACCAUGAUGAGGAGGGAGUAGUCCACCCUCGGGGCUGAGGGUUUAUACCAGUAGCUAUGUGUUUAAUCUCUCUCUCUCUCUCUCGUGUUCUUGAGAUGGCACGAUCUUGAUGUAUCACGGGCUUUGCUAAUAUAGUUGGAUCAUAUGGUGUAUCUCCCUCUCUAUCUUGUUGUGAUGAAUUGAGUUUUCCCUUUGAGAUUUUGUUCUUAUCAGAUUGAAUACUUUUAUGGAUUUGAGAGCACUUGAUAUAUGUCUUGCAUAUGAAUACCUAUGGUGACAAUGGGGUAUUAUAUUGAUUCACUUGAGAUAUGUUUUGGCACCCAACUCGUGGAUUCCCGAGGUGACUUUGGGGUAAUCUAUGCAUAGGGGUUGAUGCAUGUUCUCGUCUUUUGUUUCUCCGGUAGAAAUCUUGGGGCACUCUUUGAGGUUCUUUGUGUUGGAUUGAGUAUUAUGAAUCUGAAUUUGCUUUGGUGUUAUUUCAAUAAAAACUCUUGAUAGAUCCAUCGGAAAGAAUAACUUGGUGUUAUUUUAUUACGAACUCUUGGAUAGAUCGAUUGGAAAGAAUGGCUACAAACAAUUUCUUCCUAUGUUCUCCGCUAGAUAAGAACUUUGGAGUGAUUCUUCAUCGCACGUUGAGGGAUGGUUAUGUGAUCCAAUUAUAUUAGCCUUGUUGAGAGAUUGCACUAGCGAAAGUACAGACCCUGGGCCUCAUUUUCAAGCAUUGCAAUACCGUUUGUGCUCACUUUUGUUACUUGCUACCUUGCUGUUUUUUAUUGUUCCUAUUACAAAAACCAAUAUCUACCAUCAUUACUACACUUUUAUCACCAUCUCUUCGCUGAACUAGUGCACCUAUACAAUUUACCAUUUGUAUUUGGUGUGCUGGGGACACAAGAGACUUUUUAUUAUUUGGUUGCGGGGUUGUUUGAGAGAGACUAUCUUCAUCCUACGCCUCUCACGGAUUGAUAAACCUUAGGUCAUCCACUUGAGUGAAAAUUGCUACUGUCCUACAAAAUUAUGUGCUUGGAGGCCCAAUACGUGUCUAUAAGAAUAAAAUUGUGUAGUAGACAUCAGUAUCCUUGUCCGCAAAACAAAGGUAACCACCGAGAGUGAAUUGCAAGAUGAAAACAUGGCAGUAUAUAUGAUUAGCACGUAUACACGCUAAUCCAUUACACAUGUAUUAAGGUCCCACCAUUUGAACUUUGGUGUCCAACUCAAUUGCCUGCGAUACAUUUUUUUUGCAACCAUCCCAUUGAAAAAAUAGCGCUCUAUAGAGCCGCUAAUAACACGUUAUAGCGCGCUAAUAACACACUAUUUUAGAGAGAAUUGUCUUGCUAAAUUGAUAAGUGUACAAUAUCUUGCUAAUAGCAUGCUAUAGCGCGCUAAUAGCUAUUGGGUUCUACGGUAGGGUGCGUCGACUGCAAAUUAAAUUUUCCUACGCGCAGAACAUCCAAGAACAUGCUAUGGGAGAUGGAUCACAGUUCGUUACCACUAGACGCGCAGUGCCGUGCAGCGGAAGUAGAGUUGAGCCAGCGCGUCCACGUGGUUCGUCUCCUCCUCGUCCGAUCUCCCUCGAACAGCCGGUCAUCGGAUCCCACGUAUAAGUUCGCCGGAGCAGCGCAGGUGCACCGCCUGUAACGGUAUCUGCGCGUGCAGGAGGAACACCGUGCGGCAGACUGCUAGGUCCGAUCACACAAUCGGCGGCGAGUGGAGGUGUCUAUUCGCAACACAUGCAAACCCUAGUGACAGUGCCAAAGCGAUCAACCGCAUGAGUGUGCCGCACCUCCACUUUAUAUAGGCGUCCGUCGCGGGCCCAACACUUGGGCCUCACACGGACCCUAAAGCCCAUAAGUCUACUCGAUCACAAUCCGAAUACAGCUCGGAUCACAUCCGACCAGUGUCCUCGGAUCCGACCUCGUAGGUUCCUUCCCUUAAGCGCGCGAUCCCUUAGGUUCAAGUCGGCUUGGUCGCAGUUUGGAUCACCUCCGAACUGCACGGUUGGUAGCGGCCUCUAGCAAGGCAUGCCGAACACCAAGCAGACUAUGAAGCUGGUUAGGCGAACCUGUACAUCACACUUCCAUUCCUUUUGCCACACGAUAUAUGUUGUCGGGCUCAAGGCGAGUCUGUCAUCCUUGUGCUAGCCCGACCUCUUUCUCGUUUCAGUGAUGCCGACCACAAACCGGAUUAUCUCAUAAUCCUAAUCGCAUGGCCAUGCUUAUCAUGGUCGGAUCACACGAGGGGCCCAGAGUAUAUCUCUCCUGAUCGGAGGGGCGAAUCCCAUCUUGCUCGACCACGUCUCGCCGCAUGGGUCUGGACAAGCCCGAAACCUACCUUUGUAACUACCCAGUCUCGGAGUAGCGUUUGGUCGGCCCAAAGCAAGUCUGUCACCAUCCCAAGUACAUGUGCCAGCUCAAGUCUUAGGACAUAGAACAUAUGUUGUGCUAGAGACUCACAGAUGACAUAUCACUGCGUCUCUUAGUUGGGUGUGUCCAACUCGGACCUUAUCUCGACUCGGAUCCGACUACGUCGAAUCCGACCAGAUCCUUCCAAGUCCAUAUUAUCCGGUUAGCAUCCAAUGCUCCAUGGCUAGUGAGACCAAGCCAUCGACCGUGUCAUAUGCUAGUCCAGUUGGAUGUGCAUCCACACAGCCCUUUCGACUAGGGACCUUUUAGGACAGUCAUCAUACAAUGCAUAGUCCCAAAAACAAGUCACGUACUUGCUGAUACACAUCAUUGAUAAUGUCCAAGGACUAUCUUUAUUCAUAAACACAUAGGAAAUAUCAUCAUACAUGAUUGCCUCUAGGGCAUAUCUCCAACAGUCUCCCACUUGAACUAGAGUCAAUCAAAUAGACAUCAAAUGCCCAUAGCUCUAACGUGCCCCUCAUGCUUGGGUUGUGGAAGCGGCUUAGUCAACGGAUCUGCAACAUUUGCAUCCGUGUGAAUUUUGCAUAACUCUACAUCACCAUUCUUUACGAUCUUUCGUAUCAGGUGAUAUUUCCGAUCUAUGUGUCUGACCUUGUGGUGAUUCCUUGGCUCCUUGGCUUGUGCGAUGGCACCAGAAUUAUCACAAUAAAGGUCCAACGGUUUUACCGAGGCUGGGAAAAUACCAAGAUCAUCCAGAAAGUUCCGGAUCCAAACACCUUCCUUUGCAGCUUCACAAGCCGCAAUGUAUUAGGCUUCUGUGGUAGAAUCGGCCACCGUAUCUUGCUGGGAACUCAUCCAGCUCACUGCUCCUCCGUUCAUGACGUACACGAAUCCGGACUGUGAUCGACAAUCAUCUCUGUCGGUUUGGAAGCUAGCAUCGGCGUAACCCCUUACGACGAGCUCUUCCUCACCUCCAUAAACUAGGAACAUCUCUUUAGUCCUUUUCAGGUACUUCAAAAUAGUUUUUACCGCUGCCUAGUGACUCUCACCUGGGUUGGCCUGGUAUCUGCUUGUUAGGCUUAUUGCAAAAGCAACAUCAGGCCUUGUACAUAUCAUGGCAUACAUGAUGGAUCCGAUUGCCGAGGCAUACGGAAUCCUACUCAUCCUGCUUCGCUCAUCAGAUGUCGAAGGACUCUGAGUCUCGCUUAGCCUUAUACCAUGUGAGAGUGGCAAGAACCCUUUCUUCGCCCCACUCAUGUUGAACUGCUUCAGCACUUUAUCUAUGUACGUGCUCUGGCUUAAGCCGAGCAGCCUCCUCGAUCUAUCUCUAUAGAUCUUAAUGGCUAAAAUGUACAUUGCCUCACCAAGGUCUUUCAUCGAAAACUGGCCAUUCAAUGACUCCUUGACCGAGUUCAGCAUCGAAACAUCAUUUCCGAUCAGUAGUAUGUCAUCCACAUACAAGAUCAAAAACACUAUUGAGCUCCCACUUAACUUCUUGUAUAAAUAAGAGUCCUCUUUGCUUUUGAUGAAGCCGAAACCAGUGACGACCUCAUCAAAACGAAUGUUCCAGCUCCGAGAUGCUUGCCUCAGCCCAUAAAUGGAUCUCUUGAGCUUGCAUACCUUACUAGUGCUAGUCGGAUCGACAAAACCCUCGGGUUGUAUCAUAUACACAUCCUCGGUUAAAUUUCCGUGAAGGAAAGCCGUCUUGACAUCCAUCUGCCAUAUCUCGUAAUCGAAAUAUGCAGCUAUAGCUAGUACGAUCCUCACCGACUUCAGCAUCGCUACCGGCGAGUAAGUCUCGUCGUAGUCAAUUCCUUGAACUUGUCCAUAACCCUUAGCAACAAGCCGAGCUUUGUGGAUCUGAACAUUUCCAUCCACAUCGGUUUUCUUCUUAAAGACCCAUUUGCAACCAAUGGCUGUUACGCCAGGCGGCAGAUCAACCAAGUCCCAAACUUGAUUCUCAUCCAUGGACUUUAACUUAGAUCUCAUGGCCUCUAGCCAUGCCUCGGAAUCUGGGCUCACCAUCGCUUCCGCAUAUGUAGCCGGUUCGUCGCUUUCUAGCAACAAUACAUCACACACUCUGCGCAAUCUCUCCGACCUCCGUGGUUCCGGUGCCGCUUCCACUACGGGUUCCCUGACUGACUCCGGUAUGAUCUCAUCACCAGCCGAGCCGUCCCCGAGUGGUCCUUGAAUUUCUUCGAGUCGGACUGUCCUCCCACUGGCCUCCCGACUGAGAAACUCUUUCUCAAGGAAUACCCCGUUCCGAGCAACAAACACUUUGUUCUCUUCCCGGUUGUAGAAGCUAUAUCCCAAGGUUUCCCUCGGAUAUCCCACGAAUAUGCAUUUAUCUGACUUGGGUGUAAGCUUCUCUGACAUAAGUCGCUUGACAAAUGCUUCACAACCCCAAAUCUUUAGAAAAGACAAACUUGGACUCUUCCCGGUCCACAUCUCAUGUGGUGUCUUGUCUACGGAUUUUGAUGGUACCCUGUUAAGUGUGAAAGCUGCAGUUUCUAGAGUGUAUCCCCAGAAUGACAAGGGUAAAUCCGAUUUGCUCAUCAUAGACCGUACCAUGUCCAACAAGGUCCUAUUCCUCCGUUCCGACACGCCGUUUCUCUGUGGCGUACCCGGAGGUGUGAGCUGAGGUACUAUACCUCGGCUUUUCAGAUGAUCAUCAAACUCCUGGCUCAUGUACUCACCUCCACGAUCUGAUCGUAGAAGCUUUAUAGUCUUGCCGAGUUGAUUCUCAACCUCGUUCUGAAACUCUUUGAACUUUUCAAAAGUUUCCGACUUGUGCCUCAUCAAAUAGAUAUAUCCAUAUCUACUCAAGUCGUCGGUAAAAGUCAUGAAGUACUGAUAUCCACCUCUGCCAGUUGUGCUCAUUGGACCACACACAUCACUAUGUAUAAGUUCCAAUAGCUCGGACACCCUCUCGCAACUCUUUGCGAAAGGAGACUUAGUCAUCUUGCCGAGCAAGCAUGAUUCACAUGUCUCGAACGACCCAAAGUCGGACGAAGUUAGGAGCCCAUCAUCAUGGAGCUUCUUCAUGCGUUUCAGACUAAUGUGUCCAAGCCGGCAAUGCUAGAAGUAUGUCGGAUUUAUCUCAUUACGCUUAUGCCUCUUGACAUUCACGUUAUAGACCGGUUCCUGUUCCAGAUUCAAUAUAAAUAGCCCAUCUACAAUGGGUGCAUAGCCGUGGAACAUACCAUUCAAAUAAAACGAACAACCAUUGUCCUUUAAAUUGAACUCAUAACCCCGACUCAUCAAACAUGAGGCAGAAAUAAUGUUCCGACUAAGUGCAGGAAUGUAAUAACAGUUAUUCAAUUCCAAAAUAAAUCCAGAAGGAAGUUGGAGCUGCAUCGUGCCGACCUCCAACACAGCAACUCUUGCUUUGUUGCCGACCCCGAUGUCAAUCUCCCCUUGUGCCACACGCCUAGUUCUUACCAGCCCCUGCGUCGAGUUGCAAAUAUGAACAACUAAUCCGGUAUCAAAUACCCAAGAGCUACUAGGUAUGUCAGCAAGGUAAAUGUCUAUAACAUAUGCAACAAGUGUACCUUUGCCUGAAGCAGCAUUCCCGGCCUUCUUGCCAUGCUCUACAAGCCACUUGAUAUAGUUCCUCUUCCAGUGACCGGUCUCCUUGCAAUGAAAGCAAAUGGUCUUCGAGUCCGGUCCUGACUUUGGCGGAGCGGCGGAGGUUACCGUCUCCAUGCCCUUUGCCUUAGCCUUCUUCUUGGACCAACUCUUCUAGAACUUAGCCGAUUUCUGCACCAUCAACACUUGAUGCAUGCCUUUCUUAAUAUCCUGCUCUGCCACCUUAAGCAUCCCAUGCAAUUCAGUGAGCUUCUUGUCCAUGCCAUGCAUAUGAUAGUUCGAGAUGAACGUCCCAUAGUUGGGCGGAAGAGAACCCAGAACUGCAUCAGUAGCCUGCUCAUCCAAGAGCGGGAAGCCCAGCCGAUCCAAAGCUUGCACAUAUCCGAUCAUCUUGAUCACAUGUGGGCUCAGUGGAUCACCUUCCUUCAGCUUGCAAUCCAUCAAGGAUCGCCAGACGUUGAACCUUUCGGUUUUAGCCUGUGUCUGAAACAUGCUCUUGAGACUCUCGAUCAUAUCGUAAGCCUCAACAUUUUUGAAAUGCUGUUGCAAAUCGGGCUCCAUACAAGCCAGCAUCAGACAGCUGAUCUCCGUUGAUUCAUCAAUGAGUUUCUGGUAGGCAUUCUUAGUUGUGUCACUAGCAUUAUCGACAGGUUCCUCUGGAAGUGGAUCCUCUAGAACAUGUUCCUUUUUAUCAUGCUUGAGAACAAUUCUCAAAUUUCUAUACCAGGUGGUAAAGUUUGUUCCAUUCAGUUUAUCCUUUUCCAGAAUUGAUUUCAAUGCAAAGUUGGGUUGAGCAGGUGGUGCCAUUGAUCUACAACAGAAAAUAUGCAAUCACUAAGCAAUGUGUUUAUGUAGAGUAAUUCUAGCCUUAAACGAUAAUACUCCCACUGAAGUUGGCAUCCCUCCGCAAACUCUCAGUGAUUCAGGAUCCGACUAGCACAUGCGACUAGUGAGCUUUAGCAUCACUGCUAGACAACAGGCCUAUCAGGUAAGCAACUCCUUGCUAAUCGUAUCUCUAUACAAUUCCUGUCGGUCGGGAUGGUAUCUCAUACCCCGGCUCCCAACCUUCUUUGCCACAAGGCCCAAAACCGUUUUGAUAGCCUUGUCAAGUUAACCUGAUGCAGUGCAUGUCCGUGUCCGACACGAACCCUUCAGUUCAAGGACACCCAGCGGCACCUCAAUUUUAUGAGCCCACUACUAGACGUACUUGACGUGCGAAGGUGCAACAUCAGGGAUGGCAAUUCGCUUGAUAUUCAUGAGGGAUCUUUCUACCAUUCUAACAUGCAUAGAAAACAAGAAGCAUAACAAUCACAAAUAAACAUAUAUCGUGAAAUAGUAUGGCUCCUUUAUGGACGUUCUUCCAGGUCGGCUCCGACUCCGAUGACCAUCUAGGAACUCCAUCUUGUUUGUCACACCGGGACACCAAGCCACCAACCUGAUCUCUAUUAUCCAACUACUACAACUAGUAAUGAAUUUUACAUAGAGUCACAAGUCGACACGCAGGUCGUUACACAAUAUAAGGACAACACUUUGGCUCCUGCCGGCUGACAAACAUGACACGCAGGCCAUGUAUAAUUUACACACAUGCAUCACAUACACAUGAGCCAUACUAUUCACAUCAAACCCUACAAAAUAAAGUUAUGCAUAGAAUCGCAUUCCACCGGUUUGAGUGAUCGUGUAUGAAAUAUAAGGCGCUACACACACGGCGGUCCCGAUCACGCCGAAUUUUCCGAUCUGACCGAUCUCAUCGAUCAUCGCGAAUCCGAUUCGGAUUUAUGUUUCACUGUUAACCCCGAUGGCAGAUAACCGACCGGUAGGGGUAGGUUGUGUCACGACCUCAUCGAUCCCGAUUGACAGAAAACAUAGCCUCAUCGAUCCCCAUGUGCAGUUGAUCUCAUCAACCGUGCACACAGCCGAUCUCAUCAACGACAACGGAUCUCAUUUGCCGCCUCCACAUAUCUAAUAUGCAUACGAUCUGAAUCCCAAUCCUAUAGCAGAGGCUCUGAUACCACUGUUGGGCUCUAUGGUAGGGUGCGUCGACUACAAAUUAAAUUUUCCUACGCGCACAACAUCUAGGAACAUGCUAUGGGAGAUGGAUCACAGUUCGUUACCACUAGACGCGCAGUGCCGUGCAACGGAAGUAGAGUUGAGGCAGCGCGUCCGCGUGGUUCGUCUCCUCCUUGUCCGAUCUCCCUUGAACAGCCGGUCGUCGGAUCCCACGUACAAGUUCGCCGGAGCGGCGCAGGUGCACCGCCUCUAACGGUAUCCGCGCGUGCAGGAGGAACACCAUGCGGCGGACUGCUAGGUCCGAUCACACAGUCGGCGACGAGUGGAGGUGUCUAUUCACAACACAUGCAAACCCUAGUGACAGCGCCAAAGUGAUCAACCGCAUGAGUGUGCCGCACCUCCACUUUAUAUAGGCGUCCGUCGCGGGCUCAACACUUGGGCCUCGCACAGACCCUAAAGCCCAUAAGUCUACUCGGCAACAAUCCGAAUACAGCUCGGAUCACAUCCGACCAGUGUCCUCGGAUCCGACCUCGUAGGUUCCUUCCCUUAAGCGUGCGACCCCUUAGGUUCAAGUCGGCUUGGUCGCAGUUCGGAUCACCUCCGAACUGCACGGUUGGUAGCGGCCUCUAGCAAGGCAUGUCGAACACCAAGCAGACUAUGAAGCUGGUUAGGCGAACCUGUACAUCACACAUCCAUUCCUUUUGCCACACGAUAUAUGUUGUCGGGCUCAAGGCGAGUCUGUCCCUUGUGCUAGCUCGACCUCUUUCUCGUUUCAGUGAUGCCGACCACAAACCGGAUUAUCUCAUAAUCCUAAUCGCAUGGCCUUGCUUAUCCUGGUCGGAUCACACGAGGGGCCCAGAGUAUAUCUCUCCUGAUCGGAGGGGCAAAUCCCAUCUUGCUCGACCACGUCUCGCAGCAUGGGUCUGGACAAGCCCGAAACCUACCUUUGUAACUACCCAGUCACAGAGUAGCGUUUGGUCGGCCCAAAGCAUGUCUGUCACCAUCCCGAGUACAUGUGCCAGCUCAAGUCUUAGGACAUAGAACAUAUGUUGUACUAGAGACUCACAGAUGACAUAUCGCUGCGUCUCAUAGUUGGGUCUGUCCGACUCGGACCUUAUCUCGACUCGGAUCCGACUACGUCGGAUCCGACUAGAUCCUUCCAAGUCCAUAUUAUCCGAUUAGCAUCCAAUGCUCCAUGGCUAGUGAGACCAAGCCAUCGACCGUGUCAUAUGCUAGUCUAGUUGGCUGUGUGUCCACACAGCCCUUUUGACUAGGGACCUUUUAGGACAGUCAUCAUACAAUGCAUAGUCCCACAAACAAGUCACAUACUUACUGAUACACAUCAUUGAUAAUGUCCAAGGACAAUCUUUAUUCAUAAACACAUAGGAAAUAUCAUCAUACAUGAUUGCCUCUAGGGCAUAUCUCCAACAGUAUAUUUUCAAAGACGGUUCUAUUUUGUAUACCGCGCUAUUUUUUUCCUUUCCAUCCCAGAAAGAAGUAAAUAAUAAAUUACCACAAACAGAAACAAGAUAAUAGGACUAAAACCAAAUAGAAUGUGUUGCCAAAAGAAAAAAGAAAUCUAUUACGAGUAGCAUAUAUAAGAAUCAAGAAGAGUUCUUACAUGGAUCUCUAACUUCUCAAUAAAGGAGUUGUCCUAAGAAUGGAAACCACAUUUGGAAGCUUGUCGGUAUCUUCAACUGUUAUACCCAUUAACAACUAUAAGCACUUAAGAUGGGGAAACAAGCAUGUGCUAUUCAACACUAAUGGCAUCUGCAAGACAAAAGAACAAAGUUGAUUGCCUAGAUGAUAUUACUUAAAUUUAAUUGUAACCUCAAGGGCAUUGCAGGAGCAAACCUCUAGCCGCGGGUUAAAAGUCUGUAGCAUCAGAUUUUCUAUGCUCGAAAUACCAUUGAGAAGUGCACCGACAACGUCUUGAAAAUUUAUCAUGGCGAAACAUAUAUCUGCAUUUUCCAGCUCCGAGUCUUGAUUUAUAACAAUAGGAAGAAUGGGUCCAUCAUAUUGAAAGGUAUCCAAUUUCAAAACUCUAAGUUCUAUCCUGGUCACCCUACAAAGUAUAAGUGUUAGGUGUCGCAGGUGGGACAAUGGACGAUCCGACUUUAAUUCGCUAUCCAGGAAGCAUCUGACUAAGCUUAGCCGUUUAAGAUAACAACAAUUGGAGAAUAUGACCUGAAGAUCUUUUCUAGUGAUAUCCACGAAUUCCAGGUCAAGCUUUCUUAGGCUUGGGAAACCAUUGAAUUUAAAUGGUGGUCUGAAGGAUACAAAGCUAAGUUGAAUACAUUCUAGACGUGAUUUGCUUUCAGUAUCCAAAAGGUGAAAUGGAAAUAUGUAACGAAAGAUAUCUCAAACUGCCUUGUUAACCGGCCAUAAGUAGAUAGCAAUGCUCUUUGUCUGUGACGACACAACAAAAUCAACACAUUUAUUGAGAUGAGUAGCCAGCAUGAUGUCAAAUUCGAAUUUGACAUGGAAUUCUUCGACCACCGUCCCAUGGAAAUUUCUCAAGACUGCAUUGACAUCAUUGAUGAGCUUGUGCAUGUAUUCAUAACAUUCUUUUCUUGAAAAGCUAUCACGGCAACACCCAGCAGCACCAGUGAAACAUAAUUUGUGGCAAGAAAUAUCGCGGAUAGGUCUCCAGUGACUUGACAAAACACUGGCCCUUGAAAUCUCUUUAGGAGGCAACGUUGACAAAAUUAUGCACAUCACAUCCUGCGUUAACGGAAUAUAGAUGCUCAAGAUUACAAGUUAUAGUUGUACUCGACUGUAUAUCAGAAAAAGGAAAAUUUGGCACACAUUUGAAAGGUCUUCCAAUUUAAUGUGUGACCUCGACUUCUUAUAGAUUGAAUUCCCAUGGGUAUGGUCUGAUGAUGUUGCUUUGCACAUUUGAUGCCUCCCCAUUUGUAAAACCGAAUAUGAGAAGUCAGAGUUCCUCCAAGAUUAUAUGGUAUUAACUAGUGGAUAUUCACAAGUGUAUUAACUAGUAGUAGUAGGCAUUACCGUGGAUAAUUCGAGGAACUAGUAGUUUGUCGUCGGUGCCAGCGGUUCGGUGCUUGGGGGGUCCGAUUGUUUUUUUUUAAGAAAACCCGCCCACUUUAUUGAUUCAUCUCAAUGAUCAUAGGUACAAGGUUUUGUUCAUGGGGUAGUCCCAACCAAAUGUGUCGGCCAGGCCCAAGAUUACAAUCAAACUUGGCGAGAUUAUGAGCUUUUAAAUUAAACAAACUACGCUCAUGACUAAAACAGCAAAAAGCAAAAGUAUUUCUAGUGAAAUUAAUCUCCUUUAUUAUGGCGCCGUGUUCUCCACCAGAUUCUUUUUUUUAGCACUGUUCUCCACCAGAUUCAUUCCCAAUAUCUUUGAUCACCCCCUCACAAUCAGAAAGAAGCAAUGUUGGCUUUUAACAGGACGUCGAGACCAUUUGAUUCGUCCAGGAGGAGGAAUUGGACUCGGAUUCCUGGGCCCGAUUUUAGAGAGGAAGGAAGCGCGUUCCGCUUCCCGGCCCAACCCUCUUUCCUUCCGCUUCCCGGCCCAACCCUCCAUACAAAUGCAAAACCCUAAUAAGAAACCCUAAGAAACCCUUCUCCCCCGCCACCGGCCACCACCCCGACCAACGGAGGCAGCGAUGGGAUGCACGGCGUCCACGCGACGUGCGGGGUGGGGCUCGCUCGUGUUCGAUGUCUCAGGGUACGGCGGAGUUAGCCUCGACGUACAAUCAUCAGAAGUAUUCACCGUCGGCGCUUACGACUGGCAGAUUCGUUUCUAUGAGGAAGGAGUGUUUGGGCAUUCCGGAGGCUAUGUGGCGGUCUAUCUCUUUUUAGUCAGCAAGAAGGCCAAGGUGAGGGCAACAUUCGAGCUCAGUUUGGUGGACAUCACUGGAUCAACGCCGCCUCGUACGAUGAGGACGGUCGACGCAGAAUUUGACUCUGGCGACCGAACGUGCUUCGGCCAUCCCGAGUUCAUGAGGAAGAGCGAGCUCGAGGCGUCGCCUUACCUUCGCGGCGAUCGCCUCACAAUUGAGUGUGCCAUCACUAUCUGCAAGGAAGCGCCGGUCUCGUCGAAAUCGUUUGCUGAGGUGCCGCCAUCCGACAUCACGGAUCACCUCAGGAAGCUGUGGCAAGGGAAAGAGGGCAGCGAUGUCACCUUCGAGGUUCAAGGGGAGGCUUUUCCUGCCCACAAGACGGUGCUCGCGAUGCGGUCGCCGGUGUUUAAGGCAGAGCUGUACGGUGCCUUGAGGGAAAAUGAUAUGGGUCGCGUUAUCAUUGGCGACAUGCAACCUGCAGUCUUCGAGGCCCUGCUCCAUUUUAUAUACACCGAUUCAUUGCCCACCAUGGAUGAUCUUUACCAAGAUCAAGAUGAAUACAAAGAGAUUAUUGGACAUUUGCUUGUAGCCGCGGAUCGGUAUGCCAUGGAAAGACUGAAGAUCAUAUGUGAAAGCAUCCUUUGCAAGAACAUAGAUGUGAAGACCGUGGUGACUACACUGGCUUUGGCUGAUCAGCAUCACUGCAACAAGUUGACUGAUGCUUGCAUUGAAUUUAUUGCCUCUUUGGGUAAAGUGGAUGAUAUAAUAGCAAGCCAGGGAUAUGCUGAGCUCAAAAGAACCUGUCCUUUGGCUUUACUGGAACUGUGGGAGAAGGCAACUAGGCUCUACAUGAUAUAGUCUUCAUUUCACAUUGGCAUGCGUGUUAAGUCGCAUACAUAUCUUGCUACUUGUUUGAUGAAGGAUUAGUUUAUUUUAAUAUAUAUGGAGCUUCGGUGAAAAACAGUACUACUCUGCUAAUGUUUUUCAUUUGCCAAGAUGUUGCAUACUUAUCCUUUUAGCGCAAAUGGUAUUGUUGCUAAACAAUAUAUAUGAGUGUUUAAUUGUUUGUUAAAAAUUAAGUCAUAGGUUUUAAUUACCACACUACAUGUGCAGGCUAGUGUAUGCUACUCAGUUCGAUGGUGAUAUCUGCCGUAACGAAUAAGCAGCAAAAUGCGACAAGAGUGGGCCAGGAGUGUGUUAAUGUGAUUAUAAGGGAACAUUUCAUCAAAAUAUGAAAUUCGAAACGGGAGAACGAAUGCCACAUUUUCGAACUCUUGAGUGUUGUAAAACAAUGGGGGUGCAUUUGAAACAAUAAUUCUUGCACUGGAAGGUGUUCAAUUUCUAUUGUCAGGUACUUUUCUGUUCUUGCAUCCUCCAAUUGGUUUCAGUUUUUAUUUUACUUACCUGAAAAGUUGAGACUGAAUCCAUAAGCAGUUGACCCAUCGGUAUGCUUUUAAUCUUUUACAAAUAUAAAAUGAAUUAAGUAAUCAAUCUAACCUAUGGAAUGAUUGAGUACCAUCACAUCAUCCAACUAUACUGUUAUAUAAACAUCAUCGGUACAUCACAGUAUUGGGCAAUUGGCCUAUAUUGCUAUUACUUUGAAUGAAACACAUUUGUACUAUAUGACAGUAACUAAUUGGAAGAGUGCAGUAUGUUAAUGCACCUGCAUAUCCUUAAGAAUAAAAUAUCCAAUAAAAGUUGACAUUUGAAAGUACCCCUUGUGUUGUAAAGUAAUCAUUUUGAUACAGAAGGAACGUAAUAAUGAAGGCAAGCAUGUAAAAAACUGGGGAAAGUAUUGUUCGUAACAGGUUAUAUGCAGCCCUACCGUCUACAGGAACGCAUCAAAGCAAACUUCGGAAAUUGGUGCAUGUCAGGCAAGUCAGGAUUUAGUUGUUAUUUACAGAGGUGAUUUCUGUUCCCUUUAAUUUGUAGAAAUUUGGGGCAGGGAAGCAACGGAAUAUUUUUUUCAAAAGUAUUCUCAAGCUGAUUUGUAUGUGACGAGAUUAUUAAUCAGUUUGAUCGAGAUAUUUUUUGUAUUUGACGCAGUAUGUAUGUACCAAGCAGGAUUGCAAGUCAAUCUCACCUUAGGAUAUUAUUCAUACCUAUUAGCAAGUCUACAUGGAUCAUUUAAUGUUGCAAUUGUGUGCUGACCCGAAACCCUAGAAAUAGUUCAACCAUUUUCCUCAAAGGCGUAUUAUUACAUCUAAGGCAAAAUCAAUUGAUUAGUUUUACUAUUUCUAACGUUUCUAAGUAGUGUUGAACCAUCUCCACAGGAGCUUGACAAUUUAGUGCUACUAGCCAUGUUUCACAGUACUAACACAAGGGUUAAUGCAGAAGUCUUUUAUAUAAUUAUUGACCUUGAGGAACACAUAGCAUUUGUUGCGAGAUGGAACAAUAAGUGUAGCUUAUAGUGACAUCAAAGAUUGCAGCUGUAUUUCACAAUAUUUUGAUGCUCAGAAAAUCUUCUUGCUUUUGAUAGUUCUGUAAGACCGCACGAUACAGUGGUUCUCUUAGGUGUAUAUGAAAUUAGUUCAGUUAAAAUUAGGGGUCUAUGAUUUUUCACCACGUUUUCCAGCCAUUAGAUAUAAAUGUUUUAUUUAAGUCUAUUGAAAGUUACUAAUGACAUCUGGAAGUCUGCACCUCCCUCUUUUUUCAGACCUAAGUUGUUUCUCCGAAAGUCCAGCAUAAUACUCUGAAAAGAAGGUCAGGUUUUCUCCCUUUAGUCAAGUUACUCUGACCUGGUUUAAUUUUAAAAUAGUAGAUAUAUUCCUUCCUAAUUUAGUCAAGUUACCCUGCUAAUCUACCAGGCAGUUCCAUGUUUACACUUGUUGCGUAAAUAUUCUUCUCUUUAUUUGACCAGAUGUUCACUGAACUAUGGUCGGUCAUUGGUUAUUUGUUUGUUUGUGUGCAGUUUGCUUUUUUAAACCCAAUAUUUAAACAUGAAACUAAAAUAUUAAGUUUAUCUGAAUAACAUUUGGUCACUGAACUAUUCCUCGUUCACUAUAAUUUUGUCAAAGUUUUAUGUACCUGAUUUAGGUUUUAAAAAAAUGUUCAUAAAAUUAUCAUACAACUUGAGAGAAACCUAUCUUAGUUUUGGUUAUUACGAGGAGACAGAAAAGAGAUGACAUAGGCCUAUAGCUGAGAGGAGAGAGAAAUUAUGUGAUUUGGCACAGCAGACUAGCACAAAGGCCCCAGAAGGGGGUUGUAAAGUGAACGGUUCUCAGAGUUCACAUGGUUAAAUGAACCAAAUCAAAGUCCAAGAUUGUAAUCUGAACCCUAAAACGAUUUAAUGGGGUGAUAUGGACUUCUCGACUACUAGAGAAUGUGCCUUCAACUUGCAGGGUCAAUGGACAUGCACCUUUGAUUUAACAUUUGAGAUUUUAAAUGCUCUCUGAAUUAGGGCAAGCAAACAAACAUUCUCUUAAAAUUGUCGUUUAUGUGCUUGUUCUAUUAAUUUUCUUUUAGUGAUUCACAUUUGAGACUUUUUUUCUUAAAUUGAAGAAUUUAUAAGCUCUAAAUAUAAAGUAAUGUGUAUAAAUCACAGGGAAAUGAAUUGAAAAAUGUAGAACUACAUACUCCCUCCGUAAAGAAAUAUAAGACCAUUUAGAUCACUUCCUAAAAGGUACUCUCUCUGUAAAAAAAUAUAAGACCGUUUAGAUCAGUUUUCACUCCAAAAAGCUGGAAAAAAGAGCAAAUCUCGGAUAGCACAAAAGCCAAGGUGACCCAGAACAAUUAUUUCACUUAUUUCUAGUUUAAGAAGGACCUUGUGCGCGGUUCACGACUCCCGGUGCUUAGAGAUGCGGUUCACUACAGCAGCGGUAAGAAAAACAAGAAAACAGGUAUCAAGAGAUGGAAGUGAAAGAAGAACUGUUGAUCGACCGGUGGUUUGGGUCUUGCCUUUUAGGAUUCGGCUCCCUGGUAAUGAACUGAAAAAGAGACUGUCACCGCUGAGAACGAGACGACACAGGUUGUGGUUCUUCUCCGGCAUACGCUAGCUGCUGGAACCCACUGAGUUCAAGUCCGAAAAGGAUUGGACUCUGCGACAUUGACCGACGCGACGCUAUACCGGAAAGACUAAAGAAAGGUAUGUAGGAUAUGACACUUGAAUGGAUAUGGAUGGCGAAAGACUUAACUAUGAGUUUUGUAGAAGCAAUAAGUGUUGCACUGCAAGUAUUCAAUACCUGAACAAGGCAUACGAAGUAGGUUUUUUUUUUCACUUUGGCGAAAUGCAUCUCCAGACAUGACCAUCUCAUCAUUUACUUUCAGCGAUGAUUCGAUCACUAAAAUGACAUCGUCCCCGUCAUCAUUAUUCCGGUGGAUGGUGAAUCGAUCCAUGGCCUCAAAGCACCAUGGGUUUCUAGCAACAAUCACAAAGACCACACAAGAUAACAUCCCACUUUUAUUAAUUAUUAGGACGUUUGUAAAAGCAUUAAUUUGCAUCUUAUUAUUUAAAUGCGUAUUUGGAUUUUCUAGAACAUUUAAAUUUAAACUAUUUUCAACUCAAGGAAAUAAAAGAGAGAAGAUAAUAUUACUUAUAUUCCUUAUGAAAAGAGUGAGAAAAUGUUAAGAUGUCAUUUGGAGUGGAUAAAUCCAAUCUUUGGAAUUAAAUAAACCCUACAAAUAUUUAAGGGAAUUAUUAUUAGGUCCAAACUAGCUGUAUAAAAUAAAAUGAAUUUACAAAAUUGCACUUCGAGUUGGGAAUAAUUUUUCUAGGCUCUAUAUGAGUAUUUUGUUUUUUGCAAUUUUCUGGUAUUUUCUGAAAAAUAUAUAUUUUAGACUAUUAUUUGAGCCAAAAUCAAUUUGUAGACUAAUUUUAUUAUGAAAUCCUAUCCUAACUAGACCAGAACAAUGUUUCAGCCCAGUAACACACACCGCGACUAUUUUAGGCCCCCGGCCUAGUUCCUUUGUCAAAACGAUAUGGGCAUCGAGGGCCGUUAGUUUUAUGAUCAUCUCUUUCUCUCUUUUCUUGCCUCACUGCUCUGCAUCGUUUUGCCAUACUGUCUUUGCUCAUGGAGCACCACAUCGUCUGAACAAUGCACACCCGACCACACCAGAGCACCGCCGAGCACUCCACACCCGUCCAGACCACCGACCACCACCGACCACACCGCUGUGAUGACUGCGACAAGUUUAACCCUGACGUGUACUUCCUUGACACUGACGACCAUCGGAGACCAUGCCACAUUUGACCCGAGUCGUCGUGCCACUGUCUUCUCCGUGGCCGCCGCUGUUCACUGCCGCCCCAUCUCGUUCUCGUUCGUCUGUUUAGAAAUAGAUUGUGUAUUUUAGAAUUUAUUUCUUCCGAAUUGUUGUUUGAACUUGGCCCUAGAUCUGCAUUUAAAUCCAACGGUUGUUAUUCUGUUUGAGCCUGAAUCGGUGUCUUUUGAUUUGGUUUGUCCGUUUUCAUUUAAAUAGGACGACUAUAUUUUAUUUAGCCAUGAAUCGGUAUCAACUAGUCUGAUGCUGCCACGUGCCACACUAUUUUGCAGAAAAUCCCACGAAACUUCUAACGUUCUAACUUUUCAAGCGUAGCUCCAAAGAAGACGAACAUUUUGCAAAUUGUUAGUCUUGGAGUGCUUAUGACCUAUCAGUUUAACAUUUUUAAUUAUUCAAAUGUGAUCAAUUCAAAUUCAAAUUUAAAUAUUAUUUUAGCCAUAUCUUGCAAUCUGGAGAUCACCAAUAUGGUUGUUUCUUUUUGCAUGAUGAAAGCCUGAUCAAAUCCUAUGUACUAAGCCGUUAAUAGUACAUAUCAAAAUCAUUCCUAUGUCAUGUAUAUGAUGCAUCUUUUAUGCCUUUCGCUCUUAUAGUUGCACUUUUGCACUUAAGACCCUAUAUUAGCUAAGGCUAUAUAUACUAGUCCCUCCGAUCCAUAAUAAUUGACGCAACCUCUAUACAAUAUCUUACUUACAUUGUAUAGAGGUUGCGUCAAUUAAUUUGGAUCGAAGGGAAUAAUAUGUUUUGUUUGCUAUCUUUGCAAGUAAUUUUAUUUGUAUGCUUAAUUAUAAUUGUUUUUAAAUUUAUUUCAUUCUACGAUAGAUUGUUUGGGUGCGAAGCCGCUUACUUACAUGAGUAUUAUCACCAGCACCAAGGCAAGUCGCAUUCUUUUGUGCAUGUCCAUGUACCUAUAUCUUUACUAAGCAUUUAGUAUAUUUUGAGUAGUAUGUAUGAGCAUGUUUAUAUAUUCUAAAUAUGCAAGUAUGAUCCCACUAUAGUUCAGUAAGUAGGUCUGAGUUCUAGUUACUUGUCUGUCGUUGUUGUAGUUUGCUUAAAGUAGGCGGAUACUUUGGUGAAGUGUAAUUCGUGGGAAGUUAUGAAUGAUAAUGUAAUAAGGAAAACCAACUAAAUUCGUGGUACGUGGGUGGAAUAGUAAUUAUAAAGUGGUGAGGUACAAUGUCAGCAUCAUGGAGAAUGUGAUCUCUUAAAAGAUUCACCUAUGGCAUUGCACACUAGUGAACCGCCGCUAAGGCUUAAAAAGACCAACCAGUUUUCACGAAUACUUGCUUCCAUGUGCAACCACAAGCAAUUUUGAGCUUUGUCUUAGUUGAGUAGGUUGUGGUGAACCUUGCCUUGUAGGCUACCCUCUGGAAGUCUCCGUCUUGAUCUUCUACCAGUUCUCCCAUGUUGAACACGAACCUCACCGGAUCUUCGACCUUCCGGCGCCUGCCGUCGAGUCGAUGACACGGUCACGAAGAUAGCGCCAACCAACCAAGCACGGUGCGCGCAGGCCAGAUCGCUUGCGACGGUGGCAACAUCUGCUGCAUGGUCACCACACAUCCCAGCCGGCGUCGCGGGUGACGACUUCCUCUAGAGCACACCGGAUCUCCAGGUCAAAGGACAUGGCGGUGUUGCUCCCUUUCCUUUCCGCUGCCACAUGGGCGCUUGCUGCAACCCGACGGUGUGAAGGAUUAGGAAGGCGCGCAGCCGCCCGUGCCCUAGAACGAGCUGUUGCUGCUGCAUCAUAACCACAUGGACUGCAUCAAAGCCAUUGCCUAUACAUCGCUACACCUCGUCGAAUAGCAACAGGAACAGAGCCCCCUUGCCGCCAUCGGCCACACAAGCAAACCCGGCGGCGACGGCAGCAACGAUGGGAGGACGCUUGGGCAGAGGCUCGCCGAAAAAAUGGAUCUGCAGGCCGCUCGUGUCGCCCACGUGGGCGACGCGGGGCAGCUCAGUUGGUAUAUGUCGUCUUUUUACAUACUCUGUUCUUGUUGGAAAAGAAAAUCCACACCUAUAGAGGCAAAACGCAGCAAGCCGUUGGAUUUCUCGUCGUCCGAAGGUAGAACAACAAGUAUCGUACGUAUAGCGGUUUGGAUACACAGGCGUGACUACUACUCCGUAUACGUAGAAUGAGGUAAUGUACAUAAAUGCGAGAACAGUUACUCCCACCCCCCCACCCCUACAGCCUGCAGCUGAAUUUACAGCGACAACAGUACUUGCCUGUACGUGCUGCAACCUGCAAUGCCAUGUGGUAACUUCAAAGCUAGCUAGCGCUCUUUCUUUUCAGUUUUGAUAAUAAUUUGUUUUUCCUUCUUACUAUUGCUGAGCAGUGGUGUUUUAUUCAUCCUCUGCCUUGGUCUUAAUUUAUACUAGUGCAGUACUACUACCUCCGUCUCAUAAUAUAAACGAUUUUAUAUUAUGGGACCAAUGGAGUAGUUAAUUAACUGGGAAUUGUUAAUUGGGCUUCCAACUCGUGUCGUCUAAAGACAUCUCUUUCUUUUUCUCUUCAGUUUUUUCUACUCCAGUACCGUUCAAGAUAUCGGUGAUGGGACUUAAGAAAAACUUGUCUAGAUCGUCAAGUUUCAUUCCAAUCGACACUACUGAGCUUAGCAAUAUACUCCGACCAAAACACAACGUGAGUUUGCUGUUCCAACCAAAUGGUAGUCGAGCUCGUAAUUAACAAGUAGUAAACCAACAAAAGCUUAUACUACAAUAAUAUUCCAUUCAUUUCAUCAUCACUUACCACAGCACAAGCGACACGUACAUCUAGCAUUAUUCAUAUGCCUCAAGAACAUGCACCACUACUACAGAUAACCAAGAACUUAACACGAACGAGCGAUAGAGAUUGACCUAACGACGUAAUUAAGCGACAAACACAACAAACAAAUCGAGUUCUCCAAACGUACGUACGCGCGGCGUAUAGCGCCCACAGAACCAUGCAUGCAC